UUUUUUUUUUUUAGUUUCAAGUUAUACAUGACAUAAACCAAGUCAUUCAUCUUUUUUUUUAAUAUAAACAAUUUCUUCCUUUUGUAUGAACAUAUAUACAAAUAUGAAAUUUUAAAACUAUACUAACCAAAUAAAGAAAAUUAAAAACCACAGAGAACUUGAAAAAGUUGAGUUAGCAUUUCAAAUAGCUCCAAUUACUACUACAAAAAAAUCAUGAAAUAGAAACUAAUUUUUAGUGACAAAAAAUAAUUAGUUGCUAUAGUGACGAAAUUAGAUACCAUUUUAGAGACUAAAAAAUUUUUGGUUUCUAAAUUAGUUUUUAUUAUCGUUAAAUGGUUUCUAAAUUGGUAUCUAAUUAGCAACCAAGGAGUAGGUUGUAGGAUGAUGGAGCGUUGACGACUAUGUAUUUGAUGGUUAUGGUGCUCGUCGCUUCCCCAUCCAAGAAGGUCGUGUGUAGCUCCUCACAUCCUCACACUUCGACAUGGUCCCCAUUGGAACCGACGAGGCAUCCAUCGAAGGGUCAAAGCUGAUCGGGGGGAAUUUGGAGGCCGAGGUACGUGUCCCAAAACAUGACGUCCACAGAGCUUCCUUGGUCAAUCAACACCCAAUGUACAUUACGCCCCAUGGUAACAACUGAGAGUACCACAGGGUCCUCCUCAUGGGGGUACAUAUCUUACAGAUUUGUAGGAGUGAAACAAAGAGAAGGAACUACAGGGGGUCACCGAGUCUGUAAGGAUAAUACCGAUCUCGAGUAUUGCUUCCGAGCUGAUGAAGAAGUCCCCCACCCGAGCAUCCGCCAGCUAUUGUAUUCAGAUCCCCCAUCACGAGAAUUUCAUGGUUGUGCUCCUACGAUUGGUUUCCCCCCUUUCGAUCGAUAUCAAAACUUCUGACAUAUUUCAUUAUAAAACCUUCUUUAACUAGUUUAACAAGCUGAUAUUUCAAGGUCAGACACCUCUCUGUGUCGUGGCCACGACCUUAAUAAAAUUGGCCUUCCUUCUUGCAUCUAAUACAUGAUCGAUUUUCGCAAACUUUUAAGUCAAGAAUGAAAUUACUUCGAGAAACAAUUGAUAAGGAAAUCAGUUUGCCAAAACACAAAGCAAAAAAUCACAGCACCAGAAAAACAAUCGGUUGUUUCGCAGAAACAAUCGGUUGUUUAUACCAGUUCACAACUAACAAAACUUAAUUUAAAGAGAUUAAGGAUAGAGAGAAAGCACACAGAGGUUUAUACUGGUUCACUCUAAACCAGAGCUACAUCUAGUCUUCCUAGAAACCAUUGGGGAAUCCACUAAGCAAUCAACCCUAGAUCACUUACAACACAACCAAAGAAGUGACCUUGAUCCCCUCAAGACACACACUUCCUUUGGUCCAGCACAACCAUACUAAGAAUGCUGAUCUUGAUCCCCUCAAGAACACAUAACACUUCUCAGCAAACACACAAGGUUCUUUCAAAAGAUACAAAGGAUUACACUUGUUACAGAACAAAUCUGAAAUCAAUACAAGAUGAAAAAUCCUAUCUCACACUUCUUUGAUCAAACUUAAUCUCUAAGCAAUUCUCAACUUUUCAAAAUCUCAAUCUCUUGAAAAACUCAAAUAUGUUUUUCUGUAUAUAUUCAAAGUUGUUGUUUGUUAUCAAAUCUUAACAAGCUAUUCAUUGCAUUUAAAGUUUGGUCAAAGAAUUAAAAACUGGAGCGUAAACAGUUAGAAAAUCAUUUAAUGCUCAGUCAAAGCACAAAACAGUUUUUUGUUAUGGUACCAAAACAAACAAUUUGUUGUUUCCACUAAUCAAUCGGUUGUUUUGGUUUUGACAGCAAGUCAACCAUUGAAAACAGUUUUCAACCUUUUUAAAAACUCCUAAGUAUAAAACAAUCGGUUAUUUCGACAAAACAACAGGUUGUUUUUCACUUAGUUUGAAAAACACUUUUCUUUUAAAAGGAUUGAGAAUACUUAUGUUUUGGAUUCAAUCAAGAGUGGAUAAUACAUAAAAUCUACCCCAUAUCCUAACUAAAAGGCAGCUCAGCAACAACAAACACAACUAGCCUUUGAUCAUCCUUCAAAGGGUUUGGAUUCUUCAAAGCUUGAACACACUUGGUUCAACAUAUUAAAUUAGUAAUAUUAAGUGUUACAUUAAUAAUUAUAAUAAAGAACAUUAAUAUGAAGUAUUUAAUUAUUCAUUAAAUACAAUAAUAGAUGUAAUAAAUACUAUUACUGAAAAGCAUUUAACUAUAUUUAUUAAGUAAUUAAUUGAUUUGUGGAAGACAACUAAGUCCAUUUAAGAGAUCAAAUGUUUGAAUUUAAAGAUAUUGUCAUGACAUAAAAUAAUUUUACUCGAAAUUAAGUAUUUUAUUAGGGUUUAAUCUUUAUGUUUAUCUAUAAUAAUAUAUAAAGAAAAUUCUUUUUUUUUUCUGUACACAUCUCUUUUUCUAAUUUUAUCCUUUAUGAAAAAUAUGAUAAAAUUAAAUUUAAAAAUUUGAAUUAAAAAAAAACUAGAAAACACAAUUUUUGAAUUUGAAAAAAAAAAUUACAGAACACAAUUUUUGAAUUUAAAGCUCAAAAUUUGAAUUUGAAAAAAAACCUAACAAUAUACAAAGAGGAUUAUGUACACAUUUUUGUUUCUAAUUUUAUCCGAUUUUAAAAUAUGACAAAUUUUAAUUUGAAAAAAAAAACUAAAAAUUCUAAAGUAAAAAUUUGAAUUGACAAAAAAAUAGAAAACAAAACUUUUUUAAUAUAAAGGAUAAAAAGGGAGAAUGAAAACACAGCUAUCAUACAAAUCUAUCUUCUUUUGUCUUUUUCUUAUAUCAUUCGAUUCUUUUGUAUUCACUGCAUAGCAUGCAUUCAGCCUACAUAAUCAUGUAAUUGUAAAUAUAUGUAUAUUACAUAUAUCUUUAUUUUAUAAUUUAUUGAUAAUUGACAUUUUUCAAUAAGAAACUAAAUUAGUGAAACAAUGUAACAUUUAAAAGGAUGAUACAUUGAUUAAAUCAAUUUUAACCAACAAAUUGAAAUAAUUUUACAUUGAUAAUGAUAUUGACAUUUUUUAUUAAUAUAAAAUUUUAAUGAUUAUAAUUUCAAUCUUCUUACAAAACAAAAUAUCUAUAUUUAUAAGAUUAUUAUAAUUUAUUUAAUUUCUUUUAUUGUAGAUUAUAUAUUAUUAAUAUGUCAUAAAUACAUUACAUAAAUAUUUUAAAAAUUAAGAAAUUAUAGAUGAAGUGUUUUACACUGAAUUAAGAAAACUCCUAACUUAUGUUUUCUAUUUAAAUAACAUAAAUUUAUUCAAUUAUUAUAAUUUAAUAAAUAUAAAUAUAUUCAUUAAUAUAAAUUUUACUUCUUAUGAAUAAGAAAUUUUGAAUAUCCAUCUUUAUUUAGUCUCUCAUUUAAAUAAAAAUUUAUUAUUACAAAAUGGUAAUAUUACACAUUGGUAUUUUCUUCUAUAUAUAAAUAUAUAUUACAACUUGUAAUUAUAGUUGUAAAUUUAUCAUCUAUUAAUUAAUAAAUUAUUAUAAAUUUAUAGUAUAAUAAUAUUAUAUAAAAAAAUAAUUAAAAAGACACGCACACAAUUUUUGGUAGUACGUGAGAAAAUGUAUAUAAAGAAAUAUUAGUUAUUUAAAUAAAUAUAUAAUUCUGCAUCAUAAUUAUAAAUUAGUUCUUUCACUUUACUGAUACCAAAGUAACAUUUUCCGUUUUAACAUACUCCUCUCUAAUAUAUUACCUUUAACUUUCCCCAUUUUAGUGUUUCGAGAUCCAAACGCACAUAAACAAAGCAACACAGAGAUUCUUUUCUCUCUCUCUGACACCGCACAAAAAGCAGCACAUCCUUAUAAAUGCCAUCACUCUUUGUAUGAGCAAACUGCCAUCAAAACAAAGAUGCUUCUCUCACCUUUUCUCACACUCACUAUCCUUCUUUUCUUCUCUUCUUCUUCUUCUUCUUCUUCUUCUUCUUCUUCUUCUUCUUCUUCUUCUGUCUCUGCAAUCUAUUCAACUCCAACAUGUUCCAACAUAGUGCCGUUCAAAAAUCGCACCGACAGAAUCUCCAUAACUGACUAUGGAGGUGUUGGCGACGGCCGCACUCUGAACACGAAAGCGUUCAGAGAGGCUGUGUACCGCAUUGAGCACCUGAAAAGGCCCGGAGGCACGGUGCUGUACGUGCCUCAGGGAGUGUACGUGACGGAGAGCUUCAACCUCACCAGUCACAUGACGCUUUAUCUGGCUGCCGGUGCCGUUAUCAAAGCCCAACAGGUAAGGUUAACUCGUUCGUUCAAUGUUCAUCUUCUCAAAAAUAAAUUCUUAAUUCAAUUUUUUAAGUUUUGUUAAAUUUAAAUUUAACUCUUUUCAGUUAAAUUUUUAUUAAGAAUUAAGUUUUAUAAAAUAUCCAAAAGAAUUAUACUUUUAAAUUAAAUUUUUAUGCUUUGAUUUUACAGUAAAUUGGAGUUUAAUGAUGGUUAUUUUGUAUUGAUAUUGCUUAUUUCUCUUCGCAUCAAAAAUAAGAAAGCUGUUUAGUUAAGUUUUAAUUUUUUUUUAUAAAUCUAAGUAUUUUUAAUUGAUUUUUUUGUUAAAAAAAUUAUUUUAUUAAAAGUUUAAAUUUUUGUAUUUUUAAUUUUAUUUCUACUGUUAAUGGGAUUUAUACGGUUGAAUUUUAUUUGGUUUUGGUAUUUUUAAUUGAAUUUCUACUGUUAAAUUUUUUGUAUUUUUAAUGGAAUUUCUACGUUUGGUUUUGCUGUCUCAAAUAAAAUAAGAUGGAUUUGUAUAAUCUUAAUUAUCUUCGUAAAAGUGAUAACAUUUUAUUUUAUAAAUUAAAUAUUAAAAUAAAAAUCAAAUCAAUUAUGUAAAAUACACAAAAUCUAUUAUGUCAAAAUAUACAACAAUAAUUAUGUUUGUUAAAGAUAAUUAGGGUUUGAGAAUUAUUUUUUAUUAUUUAAUUUUGUGGUGUUUUAUUUGAGAUAGUAAUGUCAUUCCAAUUGACAAGAACUUGGAAAAUAUAAUUUUUUUGGACAUUUUAAUAGAAUAAUUUCUUUAAUAAAAAUUCAAUUUUGAAAAUAUUUAAAUUUAUGAAAAAUUUAAAAUUUAAUUAAUUUUCUUUUUAUUUUUCAUGUAGGAGUGCAUAAGCAAUAACAACAUUCAUGUCAUUCCACUUAAUGGUAAAAUUAGAUGAUAAAGACUUAACUGAAAAGUGUAAAAAUUUUUAAGAAGAAAUUUAAAUAAUUAAAAAUACUUAAAUGAAUGAGGAAUUUAACACUUAAUUAUUAUUUUUUGUUUUCCUUUAUUCUAUUAUAUUUUCUGGUGAAUUUUGAGGGAAUAUGUGAUUUGUUGUUUGGGUUAUGUUUUUUUUUUCUUAAAUUUGAGUUUAUGUCUAUUGUAUUUUAAGAUUAUGAAAAACAGAUAAUAUAAAAUAAUUUUGUAAGAAAUUGUUGAGAAUAUAUUUUUUGUACACAUGUUUGAAUAUAUUGUUUUUCUUUGAUUGAAAUUUAUUACAUAUUAUAAAAGUUAGGAAACUUUUGUGAACAUAUUAUUUUAUUUGAAAAUUUAUAAAUUUUUGUAGGUUUCAUAAAUUGUUUUAAAGAUUCGGUCGUAAUUUUCGAAUUUUAACAUAUAAAAAUGUAGUAGAGAAAUGUACUGCAGAAUUUAUUCAUAGCAUUCCUCCAUUUAUAAUAUCAUUUAGAUAUAUUUUACAAUAUAUAGUUUUAAAUUAUUUAUUUUUUGGUAAUAAGUUUCCUUUUUUGUUUAAAUUAAUGAUGUCUAACUUUGCUCUAUGUUUUCCUUUUUUGUUAAAUUAUUAAAUAAUUAAUGUGUAAUUUAUUGUUUUGGAACUGAUUUAAUAAAUAAUUCUUUUAGAAAUUAAAAUAAUAUAAACACACUAAGUGUUUGUUUGAUUAAAAUUUAAUUUUAAGAAUUAACAUAAUUAAUACUUUAAUUUCUUUAAAAAUUAAUAAUAGUGUGGAAUUCAUUACUUUAAAAGCAACUUUGUAUUAAAAGUAUUUGUUUGUUGACGAGAUUGACCUUGCUAAUAAAACAACAUUUAAAUUAUUUGAAAAUGUAACUCGUUUACAAAUUAAUUUUUUAUUUAACCAAGCAGAAAUCACGCAUUUUUAUAUAUAUUAUCUUAUUUUAAUUAUUUAAAAUUUAUAUUAAUUGUAGUUUUAUUUCUUUAAAUAAAAAUAUUAUUAUAAUCAUUAUUAUUUAUAUUUGAUUUGUAAUUUAUAAUUUAGUAAUAGAGAUUGUAGAUUUACAUGAAAGAGAAGAAAAACAAUGCAAUUAUAUGAUAAAGUAGUAAUGUGAGAGAUUAUUUUAAGUAGUUAACAAUCUUUACUAUCUUUAAAAUUUAAAAUUUUAAAAUAAAAUUAAAGAUAAAAUAAAAAUAUAAAAUGGUAUAUUUAAUUAUAUAUUAUAUAUAGUUAUAAAUUAGAUUGAAUUCUUCAUAGUUUUAAACUCUUUCUACAAUGUGGGUUGUUUUCCAUAUUGUAAUUUGAAUCCUUUAUGUCUUUUUUUUCUUUGUUGUCUAUCAAAGAAAUACCCAAUUAUGAAUUAUGAACAUGAUGAGAUAAUGUGAACCUAGAAAUAAUUUAGCCAUGAAAUUAUAUAAAAAAUUUAAAUCUAACACUAAAUUUCAAAUUAAAAUAACUUGAUAUAUUAUCUUAUUGAGACUAAGUAUGUCGGUGUACAUGUUGGAAGCAGACAAAAACACAUGUAUACUAAUGAAAAAGAGAAAAAAAUUGCAUUAUCAUUUAUUAAUAUAAAUUGUGUGAACAAUUUGUGGUAUAUUUUAGUUUUUCUAGUUCAAAAGUAGAGUCUCUAGACCCCACUUGUCACUAAAACCAAAGCGAUAAAGACUAUAUAGUUCCGGCAAUGCAAAAAGCCAGCAAAUGCCAGCAUAUUUCAGGAAAACCCCAAAAAUUGAAUGGCAGAAUGUGAUACACCAUAAAAGUCAGUUACCAUUUGUGAGAGAAAAAUAAGAUCAAAUGAAGGAUCAAUACGAUGUACUUGUGAAUGAUGAGAGGAACAUUGUACAUGAUAAAGGAUCUGAUACAGUGAUGUAUAAUGAAUCAGUCAAUUGGGAAGUGUUUAUGUUAAUGUUCUAGUCUGAAUUAUGUAAGGUUGGAAAUAUAGAUUAUUUAGAUAGCAAAUAGGUUGCCCAAAACAAAGAAUUCACAUGAAUAUGAAUUAUGGUGGACCUAAAGCUGAAUGGAUGAAAAAAAUUGAUGGGUCCCUUGUCUGCAUAGAUGCAUGUGCCUGAUAUUUAAAGCUUUCACAACUGACAAUGGCUUUGUUGGACAGCUGGUUCCUUGGCUAAUAGCCGUUACUGAUGUCUGUCUUGGAUUAUUUAGUGAACAAUUCAAACAUGAUUUAUUUAUUUAAAAAAUAAAAAUCAAAUGAGGGGUAUCAUGUAAAUUGAUGUAAAACUAAAUUUGAGUACUAUUCAUAUGUUCUUGGGUCCAUUGCAAUGUUAAAUGGAAAGGACCAUGUUAUCAGCAUACCUGAGAAUAAUACUUUUCUGUUGAUAUAUAUUAUGAAAAAUGUUACUUUCAAAUUGACAACUUUACAUGAAAAAACAUCAGUUUAUAAUUAUAAUUUACAUUUCAUUAAAAAGAUAAGUUUUUUUUAAUCUAAUGCAAAGUUAUCAGUACUCAUAUAUUAUUUAGGACAGAGUCAAUUCUCUAAUGAGAUUCUUCCUGAUUGUUUAAUAGUUAGAAAUGGUUUGUCAUCUUGCCUUUUGUGGAACUUGAACGGUAGCAGAAUACAAACUUCAUAUUUAUUUUUUGCUUAUGGUAAUGAACUUGGUUGGAACAAAUAUGUGCUGUGAAUUAAAUAGUGGAAUGGUGAUACUGUAAUUGUAAAGUUAGGACAGAGAGAAGAGAAAAUUACUUGUAGUUAGAGUAUAUAGUUUUUUUUCUAUCAUUUGAGAACUUAGCAUUUGCUAUUUGUGAAAGGAGAAAUUGUUUUUGAAGGGUUUCUAUAAACAGGCUGAAAGUACCUGCCAGAUGGUAUCAGCUUUGUGACUGUUUCAACAUUCAGGUUUUAGAUGCAUGUUGUAAAUCUGUAUAAUUGAACUACACCUAUCAAACUCAUUUGGGAUGUGUAUUUAAGGUGAUAAAUUCAUAUUUUUGCUGCUAGAAUAUGAUUUGAAGUGAAUGCUCCAAGUCCACUGGAAAUCAAAACUCAUCUAUUAUUCCUUCUAACAAGUUUUCUUUUUCUUGAUAGCAAAGGAAACAUGAUAAGAAAACUUCUUUAGAAAAUGUCUCAUUUUUCUUCCCUAGCACACUCUUUAAUGUUGUUCCUCUCUUAGGAUUCAAGGAAUUGGCCUUUAAUUGCACCCUUACCAUCUUAUGGAAGAGGGAGGGAGCUCCCUGGAGGAAGGUAUAUCAGUUUUAUCCAUGGAGAUGGACUUACUGAUGUGGUGAUCACAGGUGGGUAUCAAAUCUUGAAUAUUUUUUGCAAAUUUUGUUUUUUGGGGAAAAUCUUCCUUUCUUGUACUCUUUAUAGACAAACUAAUUUUAAGGGAGCCUUACCCAAUAUUUUUAUAGGUGAGAAUGGGACAAUUGAUGGACAAGGAGAUAUGUGGUGGAACAUGUGGAGGAAGAGAACACUUAAAUAUACAAGACCAAGCCUUGUUGAAUUUGUAAAUUCUCAAGAUAUUAUUAUUUCAAAUUUGAUUUUCAAGAACUCUCCCUUCUGGAAUAUACAUCCAGUUUAUUGCAAGUAUGAAUCAGAAGUAUUUUUAUUUAUAGUAUUUUCAUUUUUUUCAUCACAAGUUGCUUGAAACAAACUAGAAAGGAAUUUGAGAGGUAGAGAUGUUUUCAUGAAAUAUAAUCUCAAAACCCUGUUCCUUCUUUGCAGCAAUGUUGUGGUUCGAUAUGUCACAAUUUUGGCUCCUCGUGACUCUCCCAAUACUGAUGGAGUUGAUCCAGGUAAAUUCCCUCUAAAUAAGCCACAUCUUGUGCAUAUAAUAGUGAACUAGUUUUAGUUUUAGCUUGUAAUAAACAGUCAAAUCCUAAUGCAACCAACUGAUCUCAUUAAGUUUCACUUGUUGGUAUUGAAACAAGUGAAACUGUUAGGGAAGGAAAGUAGUGGUACUAUUAAUGUUGAUUCCACUAAUGCUAUGUGGCUCUUAGCUUUCAAGUAUGAUUUUGUAUGCUUUCAUGGUACAUGAAAUAACAAUUCAACACUAUCAAGUGUUAUGUUGUGAUUGCCAUGAGGUGUUUUGACAAGGCCUAUGUACUAAAUCAUCUGCAUAAUUCAUUUAUGCAGAUUCAAGUUCAAAUGUGUGCAUAGAAGACUCAUACAUAUCAACAGGAGAUGAUCUUGUGGCAGUGAAGAGUGGAUGGGAUGAGUAUGGUAUUGCAUACGGUCGCCCCAGCUCUGGCAUCACCAUCCGACGCCUGACCGGAUCAUCGCCGUUUGCCGGCAUUGCAGUUGGCAGUGAAACCUCUGGUGGGGUGGAGAAUGUGCUUGCUGAAAACAUUAACCUCUUCAACAUGGGAGUAGGCAUCCACAUCAAGACCAACAAAGGCAGGGGAGGGUUUAUCAAGAACAUCACAGUGGCUCAUGUGUAUGUGGAGAAUGCAAGGCAGGGAAUAAAGAUUGCAGGUGAUGUAGGAGGGCACCCAGAUGAGAAGUAUAAUCCUGAUGCUCUCCCUGUUGUGAAAGGCAUCACAAUUAGGAAUGUUUGGGGAGUGAAGGUUAACAGAGCUGGUUUGAUAAAUGGACUGAAAAAUUCUCCUUUCACUGAUGUUUGUUUGUCUGUUAUCAACUUCCAUGGUAUGGCAGGAUCAAGGGCUCCUAAUUGGAAGUGUUCUGAUGUGUCUGGAUUUGCUUAUCAGGUUAGUCCUUGGCCAUGUUCUCAGCUGCACAGCCAAGAACCAGGAUCCUGUGCCAUUUAGACAUCUUCAUUCUCUUCUAGUAUUGUUCUCAUUCACUCAUUCAAUCACCAUCUUUCCAAUUGUAUGAUAUCAUAUCAAACAAUAAUACCCUACCUAGUAUACUAUUAAUAAUAUUUACCUUAAUUUCAUGCUGAGAUUUUGAUUUCUGCUAUGUUUGGUCCAUCAUUGUUGAUAAACAUGUUCGAAUUCAUAGAGGUUUAUAAUUCUUAACUGAUCUUUCCUACUGAAAAUAAGAGAAAUUUUCAAUUUUCUUAAAAGUAGUUGUUUGAUAAAUUUUAUAUAAACUAUUGAAUUAAAAUAAUUCAAUAAUUAACAGACUUUUUUAUUAUUAAUAAUAAUUUUAUGAAUUUAUUUAUCUAUAUUGCACUUGUCAACGAGUCUGCUUUUUAAUUUGAAUUUAUCAAUUCUAUUUAUCAUCUUAAUGAAUGAUAUUUGUAUUUUUAAUAUUUAUUUCAAAAUUUCAUUUUAGUUAUUUCAAUCUUAGAAAAAUAAUUGCUAAUAUAUUCAAAAUAUUAAAUACAUACUCAUAUUUACUUAAACUAUUAAUUCAAAUUUGAAAAUUCAUAUUUUUCCAAAACACUACAGUACUAAAAAAAUAAAUAAUUGUAACAUGUGAUCUUGUUAGCAAUCACAUCAAAAUUUAAUUUAAUAUAUUAUUUCAUGAUAUACAAUUAACUUAAUAUUAAGAAUUGUAUAUCAUUAAUUAGAAAUUGUAAACUAAAUUGACAACUUUAUUGUAUUAAAAAAAAUCUUUCACAAAUAUAUAUAUAUAUAUAUAAUUUAGAAGUUUUUAAAAUUACAUGAACUAUGAACUAAAUAAGAAUGUUGUGAAAAAUGUAUUUUAUAGAUAGAUAAUAUGAAAAAAAAUUAAUCUUGUUUUAUUUAAGAAAAUCAUAUAUAGAAUUGAAGAAUUAAAACUAAAUUUUGUUUUGAAAAAAAAAAAAAACAAACUUACCUUAAAUCAUGUUUUGAUAUAUUAAAAAUAUAUAUGAAAUAUUUUAAAUAAGUUGGAAUAAAAAUAUGUUGUACAAUAAAUUUAAAAUAUUUAGUACUUUUUAAACAUUGUUAAAGUUAAAAAUAUUUUUUUGUUUUAAAAAAAUUGAAAUUAUGUCUGUGAAGUAGCAUUUAGGAUUGAUACAAUUAUAAAUAAAAGGGGUAUCAUUUAAACAAUAUUUAUAAAGUGAUAAAUAAGUAAAAUUUAUACAUGAUUAGAAAAUAAAAAUGUAGGAAAAGUUAUCAUCUAUGAGAAGCUUUGCCAUAGAGUGGUCUUCUUCUGGUCGUCCUUGUGGUUAUUGUUCGUUUGGAAUGGUAGGAAGGGGUGGAGGUGAAAUGUCAUUGCCAAUGUCUUCGACUUUAUUGUCUUCUUUUUCUCUGAUUUUUGGACACCUGUGAAGGCAUUGUUGGUCGAUAAUACUGCAUGAAUGACAUUUGAUUAUAGGAAGAUGAUGGGGAGGUCCUGGUAGAGGUUGCAAAUGGAUUUGAUGGACCAGCAAUAAAUUUUUGUUGAGAUGGAAAUGUUGAGUAGUUGAAAGGUGGUUGAUGGAAUGACAAGUGAGGUUGAUACACAUAUUCAAACAAUUGAGUUGGGUGGACGAAAAGAUUGUUGUUGAAACAAUUCAACUUGAGAAGAAGACCUGACAUGAUGUUGAUAGUGAGGUUGUGUAGUCCCAUGUGGCAUAUCAUACUAUUUUGAAAAUAUGUGUUAAUUUCGGAUGAGUCAAUGAAAAAUAAUAAAUGAUUUUGUAAUUGAACUUACAUCGUCAUCAGACAAUGACUGUAUAGGUGAGAUGUAGCGGAUAGUAGAGUUGAUGUAACAUUGCAUGUAUGUUGAAUUGCCAUGCAAAUGGUCAUUUUCCUUAAACUGAUUUUCUUGAAUUAGAGGGUUAUGAAAGUCAUUCCACAUAGCUAUUCAUGCGGCAUGAUAUUGUGGCUAGUAUCGACCAGUCUGUCCUCUCAUAUCCUCUAUGUGAAGUUGAUCAAGGUUUGAUUGGUCCCUUGGAAUACUCUGUUAAAAUCCAAACUAAUGCAUAACCCUAUCAACCUAAUGAAAUUCAACCGUUGUGAAACAUAUGAGAGGAACUAACGCUCGUGUAAUUGGGGAAACCCCAAUAUUGAUCAACCGCCUAACAUAAUCCACUUGAUAUGGAGUCCAAAGAAAAAGUAAAUAAAUGUUCAAAACAUCAGUAAUAUGAAAUUUUCAGUUAAAAUGGUAUGUAAGUUUAGAUAUUGUUUACAACCUCUCUAGCUUUAAUGCCAUCAAACAUGGCCCAUAUUUGGGGAACAAUGGUUCCUCCUGUAUGUGUUCUAUGUAUCCUCCGAGUCCACCCAACGUAAACAAAGGAAUAUAAAGAAAUUUACAACUAAGAUAACUUGAAUUUAAAUUUGUUUUCUUGUCUCAAAAAUUAAUACAAAAAAUAACAUGUCUUUUCCCGAGAGGGAAGCCAACGCCUUGUUCAACUUUUUUAAUAAGUCAAUGUUUGAAGUUGUGAAGAAAUUCAAGUUAGGCGUUCCAUGCCCAACAAUGUAAAAGCAGCGUGCAACCUCCAAUGUUAUCAUGAUUAAAGUUUAUUCCGUGAUCAAGCGCACGAUACAGAGAAGCCAAUACAACUGACCCCAACUAUAAUUCCUGAUGUUGUUCAAGUCAACCAACAAUAAUAGGUACAUUAAAUGUACCUUACUACCUGAAGUAUUUGUUGAUCAAGGAUGAUCUUGAAGCUUUGAUGUCUCCAAAUCCAUGGUGUUUGAUGGAAGGCUGGAGUUGCUGCUUGUGUGGGUGGAUUUUGGGUAGAAGGAUGUGUAAUCCACUCUUUGUUUGAAUCUAAAACAGUUUGUGUUGAACCAAGUGGUGUUCAUGUUUUGAAGAAUCCAAAUCCUUUGAAGGAUGUUGAAGCCUCUGCUAUGCUUGAUGUUGCUGUGUUGGUUUAAGCUUUGUUCUGGGGUAGUUUAUAUGUUGUAAUCCACCCUGUGAUUAAAUCUAAAGCAUUAGCAUUCUCAAUCUUUGCGAAAGUAAAAUGUUUUCAAACUAAGUUAAAACAACCGAUUUUUUUGUCGAAACAACCGAUUGUUUAUACUUAGGUGUUUUGAGAAAAAGAUUGAAAACUGUUUUGAAUGGUUGAACUGUUAAGUACCAAAACAACCGAUUGAUUCGAGGAAACAACCGAUUGUUUGUUUUGGGACCAUAACAGAAAAAUUGUUUUCUCUUUGACUGAGCUUUAAAUGUUUUAACUGCUUACGCUCCAGUCAUUAAAUGCUUUGACCAAUCUUUUAAUGCAAAUUAAGAGUUUGUUAAGAUUUGAUAACAAACUACAUCUUUGAAUAAAUUCAGAAAAACAGUUUUUGACAAUUAAGAAUCUUUGACAAAAGUUUUUCAAGAGAGUUUUUCAAAGUGCUGAGAUUGCUAAGAGUUUGUGAUUGAUCAAAGUGUUGGAAUAGGAUUCUGCUUGUAUUGAUUUCAGAUUAUCUUCUGUAACAAGUGUAAUCCUUGUACUCUGUUGAACAAUUCGUUUUCUGUGUUUGUUGAGAUUGGCUGUGUGUUCUUGAGGUGUUCAAGAUCGGCAAUCUUAGUGUUGGCCAAGGAGAGUGUGUUUCUUGAGGUGUUCAAGGUCAUUCUCUUGGUUGUAGUGUAAGUGAUCAAGUGGUGAUUGCUUAGUGGAUAUCCUCAGGGUUUCUGAGAAGACUGGAUGUAGCUCUGGUUUGGAGUGAACCAGUAUAAACAACUGUGUACAAUCUCUUUAUCUCUAACUCUUUAAAUUCAGUUUAUUUGUUGUUUGCUGGUGUAAACAACCGAUUGUUUCUACGAAACAACCGAUUGUUUUUCUGGUACUAUAGUUUUUGCUUGCUUUUUGGCUAACUGAAUUGCUGAAUCAAUUGGUUCCUGAGAUAAAUUAAUUCUAGUUUUGAAAAGUUUGCGAAAACCCUCUUUAAACAAUUCACCCCCCUCUAGUUUAAAGCCAUCUUUUCUAACAGUUUGGAAUAAAAAUCUUUUUGAAAAAGAUUGUUUUAUAAAGAAGUGAAAAAACAACAAGUUGUUUUAUCGUUUCAAUCAAUUGUUUGACAUUUAGUGCUUUUUAAAAAGGAUUUGAAACUGUUUGACUUGGUUGACUUUGAUGUCAAACCAAUUCAAUCAGUUGUUUCGUGAAUUCAACCGAUUGUUUGUUGAAAAUCCAUAACAGAAUUUUUGUUAUGUUUGCAAAUCAACUUUAAAUAUUUUCUAAGUUAAUAAGCUCCUGCUUUAAAUGUUUUUAACAUCUUUUGGAGUAUUUAAAAGAGGUUGUUAUACUCUCUUAAAGAUUAAUACAAUUUUGAGACAUUUUGUGAAAGUGUGAAAACAAAUUUGAGUUUUCAAGAUUUGCAUUCAAGCUUUUGGGUUUUCUCAAAGAAGUGGAAUAGGAUUGCUGUAAUCUUUUGAUUUGAUCCUCAUCAGGUGUAAUCCUUUCUAUAUCUCUUGUAUUUCUAAAUACUGGUGUGUAAGUGCAGAAUCAGAGGGUGUUCUGAUUUUUUUGGUGUUUGUGUGCCAAAGGAAGUGUGUGACUUGAGGUGUUCAAGGUCACUUCUUUGGUGGUGUGUUUGUAAUCUGGAUUUUGAUUGCAUAGUAGAUACCCAAUGGUUUUUGGGGACUGGAUGUAGCUCUUGGGAUAAGAGUGAACCAGUAUAAAUUCCUUGUGUGUUUUUCUCUUACCUUAAACUCAUUUAAGUUAUGCUUUUAAGUUGUUUUUAAUUCUGCUGAUAUAAACAACCGGUUGAUUUUCUGAUAAUCAACUUAAACAAUUUUAAUUGAUUGCUUUAUGGAUUUCUAUAUCUGUGAUUCUGCUUUGAACUUCAUUAUACCUUCAAAGUUUGCGAAAAUCUUUCAUAAACAAUUCACCCCCCCUCUUGUUUAAGGCCAUAUAUUUUAACAGUAUCAGGCAUCAAUAGGCUUCCAAUAAGUGUUAAUAUGUGGGCUCAAACAUGUGGAACAAAAACAUCGUUGGUUGCAUGAUAUGGCGGUUCUUGAAAAUUUUUGUUAAGACAAUAUAAUUUAAUUGCAUUUCCUUUCACCAUUGUAGUGGGUGGUAUAAAUCCCAGCAACUACUCACAUAAAUUACCACUAGUAAUCCCAGUGACAGCCUCUCCAUCAACAGGUAGACCCAAUAUCAAAUCCACAUCUUCCAAUGUAACAGUUGUAUGAGUCUUUGUUCUCCUCUUUUCCACUAAUGUUGUAAGAAGUAGGUCUUUGAUGUCAAUGUUCUUAAACUUUAACAGAUCUCCAAAACCGAUGUGAUCAACUAAGUCUUUGACUCGCUAGUCAAGUAUCUCCUCAUGUUUUAGUACCCAAAUUGCUUGUCUUUUGGGUCUCAAUAUUCUUUCAUUACCUUCCCAUAGAUCUUUAGUAACAUGUUUCUUUUGAAGCCACAAUAGAAACAUAUCCACGAGAAGGCGAUGAGAUGCCAUAAAAUUCUAAUAAGAUAAAUCUUGAAAAUUAUAUUCAAAAUAUUAAUUAUGCUUAUGCAACCAUAUUUAUUGUUAAUAUCAUAUAAUAAAAACUUCUCUAGCGUGAAGGACCCUGUUAAUGAUAUUCAUAAGACCGUAAAAAAAUCAUAUGUAAUAAUAUAAUAUAAAAAUAUUCAUAAAACCACAAAAAAUAUCUUUUAUAUCUAAAUUAUAUAAAAUAAUGGAAAGGUUUGAUGUAUUUCAACAUCAUAAAUACUAUUUCUUAUUCACGUUUUUUUUUGUAUAAAAUAAACAUAUAAAAUGCCUAUUAAAAUAUUUUGAUGCAAAAACACAUUAUGGUCAAUUUUGCUAACUUACUCCAUGCAAAAAUCAUUCACCGACAACCAUUACUUUAAACUGACGCAAAAAAUUAAAUGAUGAUAUCAUACCAAAUACACAAAAAAGGAAAUGACCUCUAAAAUGCGUCAAGACCACAAUAUUAGAAUGGAUGGCUUUAAACUAGAGGGGGUGAAUUGUUUAAAGAGGAUUUUCGCAAAAUUUUAAAACAAGAAUGAAAUUAUCACAAGAAACAAUUGAUAAGAAAUUCAGUUUGCCAAAACAGCAAUAAAAAACAGUAGUACCAGAAAAACAAUCGGUUGUUUAUACCAGCAAACAACAAACAAAACUGAAUUUAAAGAGUUAAGGAUAGAGAGAUUGCACACAGAUGUUUAUACUGGUUCACUCCAAACCCAGAGCUACAUCCAGUCUUCUCAGAAACCCUGAGGAAAUCCACUAAGCAAUCUCACUUUGAUCACUUACACCACAACCAAGAAAGUGACCUUGAACACCUCAAGACACACACUCUUCUGGGCCAACACACCAAUACUAAUAUUGCUGAUCUUGAUCCCCUCAAGAACACACAUCCAAUCUCAGCAAACACAGAAACGAAACUUGUUUCACAAAGUACAAGGAUUACACUUGUUACAGAAGAUAAUCUGAAAUCAAUACAAGCAGAAUCCUAUUCCACAAACUUUGAUCAAUCACAAACUUUCAGCAAUCUCAGCUCUUUGAAAAACUCAAAAACUCUUAGCAAAAACUUGUCAAAGAUUAAUUCUCAAAUCUGUCUUUCUGAAUUUAUUCAAAGAUGUAGUUUGUUAUCAAAUCUUAACAAACUCUUAAAUUGCAUUAAAAGAUUGGUCAAAGCAUUUAAUGACUGGAGCGUAAGCAGUUAAAUCAUUUAAAGCUCAGUCAAAGAGAAAACAGUUUUUCUGUUAUGGUCCCAAAACAAACAAUCGGUUGUUUCCUCGAAUCAAUCAGUUGUUUUGAUUUUAACAGCUUAACCAUUUGAAAAACAAUUUUCAAAUCUUUUCUCAAAACAUCUAAGUAUAAACAAUCGGUUGUUUCGACAAAACAAUCGGUUGUUUUAACUUAGUUUGAAAACAUUUUACUUUCACAAAGAUUGAGAAUGCCUAUGCUUUAGAUUCGAUCAAUGGGUGGAUUACAACACUCAAACUACCCCAGAUCUAGACUAAACCAGCACAGCAACAACAAGCACAACCAAGGCUUCAACAUCCUUCAAAGGGUUUGGAUUCUUCAAAGCUUGAACACCACUUGGUUCAACACACAACACCACAACUGAAGAUUUCAACUUCAACCAGAUGAGGUAUGUUAACUUGGCACAACUAGUAAUUGCAAGUUGAAGGUAAAUUGGAGUUGGUAUGUUUCUUACAACUAUGAACUUUAAAGAAGAUGGAACUUGGCACAGCUAAGAACUUCAGAAUUUUUGGGCACACCUAAUGAGAGAUUUCAGCAUGAUCACAAUGUUUAGGUAGAUGCCUAUUUAAAUAGAAAUUGUGAACAAAUUGUAACCACAUUUGAAUGGAUGGAAUCUCAUUAUAUCCACCCUUAAUGCUCAAGUUGCAACCUCCACCCGCACCAAUGAAUGUUAAGUUUGAACUCAAACUUAGUGUACCAAGAAAUUGUUGUACCCAUCUCAGCAAAGCAAGAUAUUAUUGUAGCCAUGUGAGGAAAGAAACGAGGUGGUGCAUGCGUUCUCACAUAAGUCGCCAACGGUGUGAGAAACUUCUUCAUUUCGUGCCCUCAAAAAUCGCCAAACGUGAAGGCAACUUCUUCAAUUGUGCCAUGCAAAAUCGCCAAUGUAGAAGGCAACUUAUGUGUUAUGAAAUUGAGAAAAAACAAGUGGUGUGAGUUCAAUGAAACACAGUGUACGUGUACGUGAUUAUUUUUUGUUUGUAGAUUAACUAAGAGAUUGGACUUGUCAUAAUGAAUCAAAAUUCAAAUAAUUAUGUUAGAUUGUAUUGGAGUGAGACACAAUUUUUGUUAUAUAAUAAGAGAGUAAUGGAAUGGAUUUGUGCCUUGUACCCAUAAUUUGUUUUAGUUCAUAUCUCUGAAUUGUUGUAUCCACUUUAAAAAAACUGGGGAGAAGGUUUGUGGGACACAAUAUUUUCUCCGACUAAAGUUCAAACAAAAUCAUAAAGGUGAUGUAAAAUUUCCAUAACAUUCUUGUCUAUCAUCUUAUUUCCUCUUAUUUAGGAAAGACAUAUAUAUAUAUAUAUAUAAGGUAAUGUUAUUUUUUAAAAACACAAAUGGACACGUGGAUGUCGGUGGAACAUCAGUAAGCAAACAUGAAGAAACAAGAAUUAGAGACAUCGUGGAUGACAUAAGUGAAGAUAGAGACAACUACGACUUCAGUUUGGAUGAUGAAGAUUAGUUCAAGAAAUCUUCUUCACUAUAUAUUUUGUCUGGCAAUCAAUCCAAACAUAACAGUGAUUGUGACAUCCAUGAACACAUGUUUUCCAUGUCAAAGGAGGCGACAUUGAGUGCCAUAAAACAAUACCACAUAGACAACAGUUACAAAUUUGUUGUCGUGGAAUCAAAGCCAAAUAUGUGGUUCGGUGCAUACAUCAUGAUGGAGGGUUCCAAUGGAGAAUACAUGCAUCUUUUAGUAAAUUUCCAAGACAAUGGGAGAUAAAGAAUAUUGAUGCACAACAUACUUGUUUGUCAACAAAUCUUUCAGUAGGCCAUGCUAAUUUGGACUCAACCCAUAUUGCGUCCAUGGUGACUUCAGUAAAAGUAAAUCCUUCCAUCCCAAUUAAAAGCUUAAUUGUAUAAAUAAAAAAUCUUCAUGGCUAUAAUAUCACAUAUAGAAAAGCAUGGUUGGAAAAACAGAAAGCUCUUGCUAUAGCAUUUGGCAAUUGGGAACAGUCCUACAAUUAUCUUCUUAGAGAUGGUUUGAAGCAGUAAAACAAAGUAAUAUGGGAACAAUUUUGCAAUAUAUUGUUUCUCCUUGUAUGGUUGAUGGUGUUCAAGAGAAAUCUUGAUACACGUUGGAUCGUGUGUUUUGAUCUUUCAAACCUUGUAUUGACGGUUUCACUUUUUGCAAACCCAUUGUACAAGUUGAUGGGACAUUUCUAACCAGAAGAUAUCAUGCAACAUUGUUUACCGCAAUCGCUCAACAAUAAUCAUAACAUAUUUGCAUUAGUGUUUGCGAUUGUUGAAGGCGAGAGUUGAGAGGCUUUGAUCUGGUUCUUCCAGUUAUUGCGACAAUAUGUGACACCUCAACCGAAUUUGUACAUGAUUACUAAUAAAAAGAACUGACAUAAUUUCAUCAUUACAAUCCAAAGAAUUUGGAUGGGAAGGAAACAACCUCAUUUUCGUGUAUACACCAUAUCGAAGCGAACUUCAAAAAAAAAAUUAAAAAUACCGAGCUCAAAUGACAGUUGGUUAACAUGGGUAAUAACAUUGUUUACCUUCCCUCGUACAUAAUUACGACCUUUUACCAUUUAACUAAUUUCACUUACUUCUUUAUUACAGCUUAUGAGAUGAAAUAACCCACUGUACAUGGUAAGCUAUCAGCUAUGUGAUCUGAGUUCAAGCAAACAGUUUCCUAGAUAGAUUGCAUACCAUUAGAGAAAUGGACUUGGGCAUACGAUGGGGGAAAGAGGUAUGGCCAUAUGACCAUAAAUCUAGUGGAAUGCAUUAACUCUAUGCUUAAGGGAGCUUAUCCCUUGUCGAUUUCCACUUUGGUUAAGGCAACUUUCAAAAAAAUAAAAAAUGGUUUGUGGAAUGAGGCUUCAACAUAAACAUCAUGCUAUGCAUAGGUCAUUAUUAUCCAGAAGAUAUCAUCACAACCUUACUCAUAAAAGACCAACAAGAUUCAGCUAUGUGUUUUGUGGAAAGGUUUAAUGGAGAUAAUUCUAAAUUUGAUGUCCAACAGUUAGCCACCCUCCCAUCAUGAUCGAUGACCUCAAUCAUAUUCAAUUAAAUUAAAUAAUUGGUGGUGUGAUUGUGGCCACUUCCAAGCUCUUCGACUUCAUUUUCGUCACAUUAUUGCCAUUUGUUCCUCUUGUCAUUUACAAAUGACGACAUUCGUUGAUCCAGUUUACAGCCUCCACACGGUUAAAAGGGCAUAUCAAGUUGAAUUUCAUUAUGUUCGAAACGAGGAUUAUUGGCUACUUAUACCAAAUGUCAUAUUUGACCCUCACAUGUGACGCAAAGAGUCAAUUGUUGAACAAGAUGCUUUGAUGUCUUCAAAUCCAAGAGGAAAGCUUGAAGACCUUGUUGUUGGGUGUGUGUGUGUUGUCUAGUUGUUUGAAACUUGUUAAUUCACUCCUUAAGAUGAUCCAAGUUCAUUUGAAUCUUUAACCUUUUGAAAAGAUGUGUUUUCUAAAAAGCUGUCAAAAUUUCAAUAGGUUGUUUUACCUUAGUAGUUUUUGAAAAGGUUUUGAAAAACUUGGUUGACUCUGCUGUCAAACCAAAACAAUCGAUUGUUUCGACAAAACAACCGAUUGUUUUCCUGAAAACCUCAACAGAAUUUUGUUAAGCGGUUUUAAUAUGUUUUAAAUGAUCCUAACUAACUUGGCUCCUUUAUUAAAUGCUUUUGACCACUUGGUGGGUCUAUAUAAAUGUGGUUUUACGCUCCUAAUCUUAAAGUAACAGAAAAAGUUUAUCAAAACAGUUUUUCCAUGAUUUGAAAAAGCUUUGGAUCAUUCUUAAGUGUGUGGAAUAGGAUUGGGUUGUAAUUCUGAACUUUAAGCUUUGUAAUACCUAGGUGUAUUCUAUUCCCUUCUUCCUUGAUUACUGUAUUUCUGUAUUUGUGUUGCCAAGGAGUGUUGUGUGUUCUUGAGGGGUUCAAGAUCAACAUUCUUGGUGUGGUUUGCCAAAGGUAGUGUGUUUCUUGAGGGGUUCAAGGUCACUACUUUGGUGUGUGAUGUGUGUAAUCUGGUUUUGAUUGCAUAGUGGAUUACCCAGUGGUUACUAGGGACUGAAUGUAGCUUUUGGUGUAAGAGUGAACCAGUAUAAAUCUAUUUGUGUGAUUUUCUCUUUCCCUGAUCUCACAUAUAUCUAUUUUAAGUUGUUUUUAUUAACUGCUGAUAAAAACAACCGAUUGUUUCGACAAAACAACCGAUUGUUUUUCUGAUAUCAUCUUAAAACAGUUUUGGGUAUUUGUUUCCUUGAUUCUUUUCUCUGUAAUUCAGCAUUGAUUUUCAUUAUACCUUCAAAGUUUGCGAAAAUCCCUCUUAAACAAUUCACCUCCCUCCCCUCUCGUUUAAGACCAUAUAUCCUAACAUCAAUGACAAGUUACAACUUGUUUGCAUAAUGAAAUGGAUCAACCAAUUCAGAACACGCCAAAAAAAUGUUCUUAUUGUCGCAAUGAAGGUCACAACAGAGGAAACUUUCCAUUUAGAUAGUGGAAUAAUCAUUUGUAAUGUUUUUUUCAUCAAAUAUUUUAAUAUCGUCUUCUUUUAAUGACUUAUAUUCAAUAAUUUAAUUUUUUUAAUACAUUUAUUUUAGCAUAAAUAUAUGUAUACUAUUACUUUUUAUGACCAUAAUUCAAAUUUUUGUCACUUGUGUUCUGUGGACAUUGUAAUUUCAAUUAUUCUUAUAUUUUGGAAUAAAAGUAAAUAACAAGAAACACAAAAAGAAAUAAGAAAUAUUAAAGUAAAAAUAUAUUUUUGUUUGGAAAUAUUUUUAAUUUUGAAUACAUAGGAAUAAACAGAUUGAAAAAUAUCUCCAUACUUAUUUUUCUUUUAAUAAUUUUUUCUCAUCUUCUUACUGUUUUUUAAUGAGUGGAAAAGAAAAAAAAUGGUUUUUUUUUCAUGUUAUUUCAAAUCAUAUUUUAUGUAUUCAGAAAAUAUGUUUUUAUUCAAAAGUUUCUAUUUGAAAAUCAUAUUAUAAAAAUUUUAGAUACUAUUGAACACUAAACACUACUAGAAAAAGUAAAUUUUGCUGAAAAAAAAAAAGAGUAAAGGUGAUAGGUGGACACUAAAUAGUGUCAAAUAAGCCUUCACUAUUAAAAAAAUUAAAAUAAAAUGUGAGAAAGUGUGGGUUAUACUCACGCAAACUUAAAAAAAAAUUAAAAAAAAGGUUGCGUUGGUGAAACGGCCAUUACUAAAAGCAUAAAAAUAAUAAAAAUUUAAAAGUUUGAAGGUUUAACCCACGCUAAACAUUUUAAAAUUAAAUUUAAAUAAAUAAUGAAACACUGAAGGUGAAGCCCACACAAAUAAUUAAUUUUUAUUUAUUUGAAAACUUCUUAAUUGUUAAGGUAUCAAAUCAUUUUGAGAAAAUAUUAAACCCUUUUCAGAGCGAGCUUAGCAUUUCCAGGUUUCAAAUCAUUUUGAUAAAAUAUUAAUGCAUUUUCGAGUCACCGUUCAUACAGGGAAUAGUCAACGUUCAUAACGCUUGAGCAUGAGCAGCAGUGCGUGCCACCGUAAUGGAAUAGUGCAUGUCACCGCAAAAAAAAAGUGAAGGUGAUGGUGGACACUAAAUAGUAUCAAAUAAUCUUUCACUAUUAAAAAAACUUCAAAUAAAAUGUGAGAAAGUGUGGGUUAUGCUCACGCAAACUUAAAAAAAAUACAAAAAAGGAUUGCGUUGGUUAAACGACCACUACUAAAAGCAUAAAUAUAAUAAAAAUUUAAAAGUUUGAAGGUAUAGCCCACGCUAAACAUUUUAAAAUUAAAUUUAAAUAAAUAAUGAAACUCUAAAGGUGAAGUACACGUAAAUAAUUAAUUUUUAUUUAUUUGAAAACUUCUUAAUUGUUAAGAUUUCGAAUCAUUUUGAGAAAAUAUUAAUGCAUUUUCGUGUCACCGUUCAUACAGGAAGUAGUCAACGUUCAUACAGGAAGUAGUCACCAUUCAUAGAACUUGAGCUUGAGCAGCAGUGCAUGCCACAAUGAAGGAGUAGUGUGUGCCACCACAAAAAAAAAGGUGAAGGUGGUAGGUGGACACUAAAUAGUAUCAAAUAAGCUUUUACUAUUAAAAAAAUUCAAAUAAAAUGUGAGAAAGCGUGGGUUAUACUCAAGCAAACUUAAAAAUAAAAAUAAAAAAGGUUGCGUUGGUGAAACGACCAUUAUUAAAAGCAUAAAAAUAAUAAAAAUUUAAAAGUUUGAAGGUUUAGCCUACGCUAAAAAUUUUAAAAUUAAAUUUAAAUAAAUAAUGAAACUAUGAAGGUGAAGCCCACGCAAAUAAUUAAUUUUUAUUUAUUUGAAAACUUCUUAAUUGUUAACGUUUCGAAUCAUUUUGAGAAAAUAUUAAUGCAUUUUUGAGUCACUGUUCAUACAGGGAAUAUUCACCAUUCUUAGCGCUUGAGCUUGAGCAGUAGUGCGUGCCACCGUGAUGGAGUAGUGGGUGUCAUCGCAAAAAAAAAGUGAAGGUGGUAGAUGGACACUAAAUAGUGUCAAAUAAGCCUUCACUAUUAAAAAAAUUCAAAUAAAAUGUGAGAAAGCGUGUGUUAUACUAACACAAACUUAGAAAAAUAAUAAAAAAAAGAGUUGCGUUGGUGAAACAACCACUUUUAAAAGCAUAAAAAUAAUAAAAAUUUAAAAGUUUGAAGGUUUAGCCCACAACAUUUUAAAAUUAAAUUUAAAUAAAUAAUGAAACUCUGAAGGUGAAGUACACACAAAUAAUUAAUUUUUAUUUAUUUGAAAACUUCUUAAUUGUUAAGGUUUCGAAUCAUUUUGAGAAAAUAUUCAACCCUUUUCAGAGCGAGCUUAGCAUUUCCAAGUUUCAAAUCAUUUUGAGAAAAUCUUAAUGCAUUUUCGAGUCACCAUUCAUACAGGGAGUAGUCAUUGUUCAUAGUGUUUGAGCUUGAGCAGCAGUGUGUGCCACCGUGAUGGAGUAGUCGUGCCACCGUGAGAACGCAAAUGGGAGUUCCGCAUUUCCUUCCGUUUUCAAUCUUUGCGAGUCUUUGUGGGUUUUCCCCUAGGUUUUCAUCUCGAUUCCUUUCUUUUUGUGUUGUGUAAUUUUAUUUUUGAUUCCUACUCUCGGUUUUUCCCUAACAUCAUGUUAUUGAUUUUUAGUGGUUUGAAGGUAACACCUUAUUUCCUUCUCAGUGGUAUAAGCCAAUUUCGUGGAGAGGUAAAUCCUUUAUAAGAUACUUUUUCUCUUUUGAGACAAUGAGAUAUUAGAGAAUUUGUUUCACCAUAAUUUUAAUUUGUUUCUACCUCUGUGUGUUUUGUAACUGUUCAUUGCUUGUAUAUGUUGGUAGCAUUUUGGAAGGGACAAUAUCUCCAAUUCUUGUUAUGUUUAUCCUUGAAUAUUGGGAAUUAUUUCAAACUUUUAGUUCCCCUGUCCAUUGGGUUUUGUAUUCACCCUGGGUCGUUCAGUACUGCUUGCUAGUCGAGUGAGUUAGUCUCUUGUUUGUUGUCUUUAGUUUUGUCACUCUCCUAGCCCUCUCAUACUCAAAAUCCAGUUACUUCUCAACAUUUAAGUCAAACCAUGGUUCUGUACACUACCUCCCAUUAACUUAUGGACACUGUUCUUUGUUUAUUCUUACUUAGUCACUUGUUUUAAUCAUCUCUGCAAAAUAUAUUCUAAACUCCUUUCACUCAAAUUAAGAAUAAUAAUUGUAUAUGGAAAAUGUGUUCAUUCUCUUGGCCAGUCAAAUGUAAAAGUUAAUUAGCAUUGAGAAAUAAUAGUAAGUUCAAAAGCAUGUACUUACAACUUCAAGAAAAUCAAAGUUUCACAAGUAAUAACAAUAACUAAUAAAGUAGUAUCACAUAUUAAGCUGGCAAUGGUUCAUUAAAUAUGAUUUUAGGAUAAUGAUUAUAUUAAAUUAACAUACUUAUAUAUAUAUAUAAAUAUUAAUUAAAAUAUUCUUUCAAAAUUAAAGAAGACAAAUGUAUUGACAAUUUGAUUGUUUUAAAACUAUUUUAUUUGUGAGUUUUGAGUUUUGAAAAUAAGAAGGGUGUUGUGUUUGGUUAUGUGGGAAUCUUAAUCUGCCAUGAAGAUUGAAAGUUGUGGAUGAAAAGGUGAAUAGAGCAGGGCGUGGAGCCCCCAACCCCACUUGAUUUCUACGAAAUCUAUUUUAUGUGAGAUUCUGAUUUGGCGAUGUUGUUGUAAGCUUUUGCAAAAUACGAAUAAUAGUGAGGGCAAAGAGGAAGAACAUUAAGAAGAUGAGUAAUUGGGGUGAAAUGUUUAAGCAAAAGUGGGAAAAAGUGAAAGAAGGAGUUGAAAAAGAGUUGAUCUUAUCUACUUAUCUGGUAAAUUCUGAUAAACAUGUUGUGUGAGAGUAUGAGGGAAUCUGACAUGUAGCAUUUGUGGCAACCUGAGUCUUUGCUUUUUGGGUGAUUAACAGAGUUUUGGACCACUUCCACAUACCCAUUUCAACUCUUACAUAAUAAUACAUAUGCUUUUAUUUUGUUUGUUUUUACUCAACAUCAGAUAAUAAUAUCUGUUUUAUUUUGUUUGUUUUUACUCAACAUCAUAUAUAAACUCACAGUUAAAAUGUUUUUUAAACAUGAUAUUUGUAUGAAUUAUUCAAAACUAAUCACCACCACACUUCAAUGCAUUGAACACAAACAAGGUUAGUAUUUAUUUUUCUUAUACAAAUAUUAAUUAUUUAAGAUUAAUCUAUCAACAUUAUAUAAAGGAUACAUAUGUUGCUUACUACAGUGUUAUUGUCAUUGUUGUUAGAAAAGAUGGCUUUAAACUAGAGGGGGGGUGAAUGGUUUAAAGGGGUUUUCGCAAACUUUUCACAGCUAGAAUGAACUUAUUUCAGAAACCAAUUGAUUCAGCAAUUCAGUUAGCCAAAACAGCAAGCAAAACUAUAAUACCAUGAAAAACAAUCGGUUGUUUCUUCGAAACAAUCGGUUGUUUAUACCAGCAAACAACAAACAAAUUGAAAUUAAAGAGUUAAGGAUAGAAAGAUUGUACACAGUUGUUUAUACUGGUUCACUCCAACCCAGAGCUACAUCCAGUCUUCUCAGAAACCCUGAGGAAAUCCACUAAGCAACCACACCUUGAUCACUUACAACAACAACCAAGAGAAUGACCUUGAACACCUCAAGAAACACACUCUCCUUGGCCAACACUAAGAUUGCUGAUCUUGAACACCUCAAGAACACACAGCCAAUCUCAGCAACACAUACAAAACAGAAUUGUUCAGCAGCUUACACAGAUUACACUUGUUACAGAUGAAUAUCUGAAAUCAAUACAAGAGAAUCCUAUUCAGCACUUUGAUCAAUCUCUCAACUCUUUUGCAAUCUCAGAAUAUUUGAAAAACUCUUAUUCUAUGAAAACUUUGUUUCAAGAUUCUUAAUAUAUCAAAACUGUUUUUCAGAAUAUAUCUAAGAAUAUAGUUUGUUAUCAAAUCUUAACAAACUCUUAAUUGCAUUUAAAAUAGAUUGGUCAAAGCAUUUAAUGACUGGAGCUUAUUCAGUUAAAGCAUUUAAAGCUCAGUCAAAGAAAACAAUUUUUCUGUUAUGGUUUUAAAACAAACAAUCGAUUGUUUCCUCGAAUCAAUCGGUUGUUUUGUUACUUAACAAAAACACCAUUCAAAAACAGUUUUCAAACUUUCUCAAAACACCUAAGUGUAAACAAUCGGUUGUUUCGACAAAACAAUCGGUUGUUUCAACUUAGUUUGUAAAACAUUUUGCUUUGUUAAAAUUGAGAUGCUAAUUGCUUUGAGAUUUAAUCUAAGUGUUGAUUACAACAUAGAACUACCCCAGAACAAGACUAAAACAGCACAGUAGCAUCAAGCAAAGCAGAGGCUUCAUCAUCCUUCAAAGGAUUUGGAUUCUUCAAAACAUUGAACACCACUUGGUUCAACAAUCUCCCUCUAUUUGAUGAAGACAAAUCCCUGAUGCUUGUGUUGUUCUUGAUUAAAUCUGACGCAGUUUCUGCAAAAGAACUUUGAGCAAUAUUUUGAACUUUCUGAUAUUCUGUUAGUAUACAGAUAAACAAUUUAAAGCUUAAAACAGUUAAUAUCAGAGCCAAACUUCAUGUUACUCAUGUUUUUAACACUAUGAAAAACAGAAAAUUAACAAACUUCAAACACAACAUAUAUCUCCCCCUAUUUGUCUUCACAAAUAGACAAAGAUAAGAGAUAAAAAGAAACAUUGUUCACAUUACAUCAGAAUAAAACAGCAAUAGCAGAAGGAAAGAAAUUUUAAAAACCAGAAACGAGAACAGACAAAAACAAUCGAUUGUUUCGAUUUUCAAUCGGUUGUUUUUCUUCAAUCUUCUUCAUCAGCAAACUGAAGAUCAAAGAUCUGAUUCUGGACAGCUUCAAUCUGUUCUUCCACUGCCAUAAACCUUGCAUCCAUGUUGUCAAACCUUGUGUCAAUCCUUUGAAAGUUGCUAACACACAGAUCAUGAAGGCUCCUUUGAUUUUCAGCAAAGCUAUCAAGCCUAUUCACCAUGAGUCUUUCAAAAGGUGACAUGGUUUGCAUUCUUUCUCUUUGAUUUCCAUCUUCAGUGCUAGGUCUAGCAUCUUGAAAAACUCCAGUUGGAUCUUCAUGUUGAACAUCCAUAUCAGCAGCUUCAUCUGGUUCAAGAUUGGCAGCACCACUUGAUGAGGCACCAUGAUCACCAUCCUUACUUAACCACUUUCCACCUAUUUUUGUGAAGCCCAUCUUGCUGAGUAAUCCAUUGUUCAACUCUUGAGUUGACUUGACCAACUCAGAAGUUUCAUCUUCAAGAUUAACUUCAAAAUAGAGUAGAAACUUAGAUAUUAAAACAGCAUAGGGAUAAUGGUAAUCACCUAACCUCAUGGCUUUUUUGCAUAUGUUCUUUGAUUAUGUGAAUCCAAUUGAUCUUCACUUUCUUGGUAAUGCAGAAGAUAUAAACCAGAUCUUCUUCAGUCAACACAGAGUGAUUGCUCCCCCUAGGAGUUAGGAUCCACGUUACAAUGUGAGCAAGCAGCCUCUCAUCUAGCUUCAAGCCACCAACCGAACAAGUGCUAACUUGAGUUUGAUUAUUCUUCAAGCAACUUUUGUAGAACUGAAUCUUGUUGAAAUCUUCUACCACACCAAGGUUUCCUUUGUUGAUUCUCAGUCCAGAGAACUUGAGUCCAGCUACAACAGCCCAAACCUCAUGGGUUAUCUCCAUCUCCACGCCUUUUACAUGAGAGACCAAGUUAUUUCCCUCAAACUUCAAGUUGGUGUAGAAAACUCUCACCAAAUCUGGAUAUAUGUUACCUUUGAGCUCCAGAAACUUUCUAAGUGACUGGUCUUUGAGAAACUUCCUCACAUUGUCAAGCUUUUGAUCCUUCAGCCAGUUGAAGUACACAACCUUGGGGUUGUUUAUUUUCUUGACACUUGUUUCAUAUCUAUACUUCUCAAUGAGCUCGGUGUCACCAGAAAACCAGCUUUCAAGCCUUCCUCCAAACCUUACAGCUCUGGUUUUGACUCUUUUAGCAGUGGGAGGAGUUGAUUCCAUGAUAGCAGAGAUGAAAACAGAGAAGAGCAGAAAACCCAGAUUUUUCAAGAGAUAGUGCAAGAGAUGUUGCAAUUGGUUGUUCUUGUUGAAAGAAAUUUGCACCUGAUUUUAUAGUAGUAAGAGAAUCAAAUUGAAUUUAAUUUCAUUCAAUGGGUACCUGAUUUUCAAAGAGAGGACUUGACUCUGUUCUGCACUGAAAAUGUCAGAAAAAGCUGAAAAUCACAUGGUCUUCACAUGUGAUCUUUGACUAGUCAUUAAGGCUUUUGAUUUUCCAAGAUUUUGGAAUAUAUUCCUUUAUGACUGUUGUAAAUCCUUUCUGAACGAGAUCAGCUUUCAACACAGAUCCUUUGGCCAAGAUUCUCCCUUUGAAAAAUAUCUACAACAGCUAGAAAUUCAAAAAUCAGUUAAAUCAAUUUCUACACAGUGCUGUCAAACUCAAAACAAUCGGUUGUUUUUCUGCAGUAGUUAAAAACUUGAUUUUUCAAUUUUGUAAUGCUAAAUUGGUUUGGGAAUAACUUAAUCCCAGAAGCUAGCAUAUAAAACCUAAACAUACAAACACACAAUUAUCCUAGGAAGAGAAUUACAAUAAUAGAAAUAGAAAUGGGAAUUAUGGAAAGGGUUAGUUACCAAUGGGAGAUUGCAAAAAAGGAAUUAAAUUUGGGUAGAUGAUGAGAGGGAUAAGAUGAAACAGAGUGUGGUUUCACAUGAAGAUCAAUAAUUUGUAGCUUGACCAUUUAAAGACGGAAUUAUAGAGAUAUAAGUUGGGGACCCACCCAUGAGAAAAAUAGUGUAUGAGGCAUGAUAUAGCAUCCCUCUCACACCACCUGAGCCUGUAUUUUCUGCUUAUUAACCAUCAAUUACCAUUAUCAUUAUAAUAAUAAAAGUGCUCAAAUUUAAGUUAAUAAUAUAUUAUUACUAUUAAUUAGUAUAAAGUUAUGGCCAGAAUAAAUAUUCGGGUUUUAAUUAUUAUUUGUCAUAUAUGUAUGGUAAAAAGAACUACAUGUAUUAUUAUGUGCUUUCUUUAGUAGAUUUUAAGGGCGUGGUUAGUUUAUGAAUGAAAGUAUGGUAUGUGCACAGUGCAUGGUUAGGAUUCUCCAUUAUCAUCAUGGCUGGUUCUUCAAACCACCAAUUUUGUAUUGGAUGCUGUGGAAAUUUGGCUUAUGCAUUAUUUAUAAAGUAAUUUGCUUCAAGUUACUGUUUAUAAAGUAGCUUUUUCUCUAAACAAAAUUUCUGGGGUAGAGGUUCUCGUUAAUAGAAUCUUAUGCUCGAAGGUUCUAGUAAAGAGACAUAAUAAUAGUUAUUAAAAAAUAAAAAUAGCCUACAAAAUUAAACUCACCCAGAGGUUGACCUAUUCACGGUUUUGGUAUCUUAAAAGUGAAAGAAUUCACGAUUUCUUUCUUUUGUCUAGUGAUAAAUUCAUUCUUGAUCCAACAUGUGUUUCAUAUUUUGGGAAAAAUAUCCUUACUAUCAAGUUCAUUACAAACUGAAUUGUGAUAUGGUAUGAUAGUUUUGUUUUAUAAUUCUUAUAUAUCACUACUCAUAGAGUGAUGUUAUAUUGGCUAAUAAUUUAUUCACUACUAUAUACAUAUAUUCUAUGCAGAAAAAUGGAUCAAAAUUGGAUGUAUGAACGACUUGAUCCUUCAAGGAGACUUAGCAAACAAUUCAUUACUGGAGUGAGUGAAUUUGUUUCAAAGGCAAUGGAUCAAACUUUUUAUACUUUAGAAGGAGGGAUAAGGUGUCCUUGCAUAAAGUGUGUCUGUGAGAAAAUUAUUCCACCAUCACAUGUGAGGGCUCAUUUGCUACGAUAUGGUUUUAAACCUAACUACACAGUUUGGGUUCAACAUGGAGAAGAGAUGUUUGUUGAUCAAGAGCUUUGAAGAAUCCAAAUCCAAGGUGUUUGAUGAAAGGCUGAUGUUGUUGUUGUGUGGGGGUGGGAUCUGGGUAGAUUAAAGUGUGAUCCACUCUUUUGUUGAAUCUAAAACUGAUGUGAAUUGAAACCUUUUUUAAAUUAGAUGUUUUUCCAACUAAGUGAAAAACAACUUGUUAUUUUGUCGAAUCAACUUGUUGUUUUGCUCUUAGGGGUUUUGAAAAAGGUUAAAAGUUGUUUGACUUGGUUGACUUAACUGUCAAACCAAAUCAAUCGGUUGUUUCGUGUUUUCAACCGAUUGUUUCUUUAAAAAUCCUAACAGAAUUCAGUUUUGAAUAGUGAAUCUAUCUUAAAUGAUUUCUAACUUAAUACUCUCCUUCAUUAAAUGUUUUUAACCAAUCUUUGGAAAUAUAAAUAGUUUGUUAUAUGUUUCUGAAAAGUAAGAAACAGUUUUGAGAAAUUCAGUUUGACAAAUUUGAUCUCAAGUUUUCAAGAUUCACAUCAAGCUUUGGAUUUUCAAGUGAGAGUGGAAUAGGAUUGCAAUUGUAUUCUUUUCAGUUGUACUUUGAUCAGGUGUAAUCCUUUUCUCAAUCUUCUAUAUUUCUAUUGUUGUAUUGCCAAGGAGUGUUGUGUGUUCUUGAGGUGUUCAAGAUCAAUACUCUUGGUGUUGUUUGCCAAAGGAAGUGUGUUUCUUGAGGGGUUCAAGGUCACUACUUUGGUGUGUGGUGUUUGUAAUCUAGUUUGAUUGCUUAGUGGAUUACCCAGUGGUUUCUGGGAACUGGAUGUAGCUCUUGUUGUAAGAGUGAACCAGUAUAAACUGCUUGUGUGCAUUUCUCUUUCUCUGAUUUCUUUUAAAUUCUGUUUUUAAGUUGUUUAUAAUUUUACUGGUAUAAACAACUGAUUGAAUCGAAGAAACAACCGAUUGUUUUUCUGUGUUUUUCUUUAAAACAGAUUGUGUUCUUUGCUAACUUUAUUCCUCUUCUGGAUUUCUUCACUGAGUUUCAUUAAACCUUCAAAAGUUUUCGAAAAUAUCUUAUAAACAAUUCACCCCCCCACCCCCCCUCUUGUUUAAGGCCAUAUAUUUUAACAAUGUCAAGUGAGGACAAUGUUGGUUAUGCAUCCAGUAGCCAUGGAAGAAUGAAACUUGUUGAUAACAUUGGUUCAAUGACAUAACAAGUCGUUAUAGUCACAUGAAAAACGACGAUGAAUAUGUAGAAGAGUCAUCUAAUGCAAAAGCCCAAAGGUUUUAUGAUAUGUUAGCAGCUGCAAAUGAACCCAUUUAUGAUGGUGCUACCGAGUCAAAAUUAUCAAUAGCCAUCAGACUACUAGCAGCUAGAACGAAUUGGCAUACACCUGAAAAAUGUUUAGACCAUUUCAUAAAAUUGUUAGUUGAUGUAGCUCCCAAAGAUAAUUUCAUACCAAAGAACUACUACGAAGCUAAAAAAAUUGUGUCAAGUCUUGGAUUGAAAGCCCAAAAAAUUGAUUGUUGUGAAGCUGGAUGCAUGUUAUAUUACAAGGAAGACAACCAUUUAACUGAAUGCAAAUUUUGUCAUCUUCCUCAGUAUUUUCCUCCUAAAGGUAAGAAGGGAAGAUACAAACAAAUUCCAAGGAAGAGAAUGUUUUAUUUGCCAAUCAUCCCAAGAUUACAAAGACUGUAUGCAUCAGUAAAAUCUGCUAAUCAAAUGAGAUGGCAUUUUGAAAACAAAAAAGAAGAUGGCAUACUGUGACAUCCAUGUGAUGGGGAAGCUUGGAAGCACUUUGAUAAGAUAUAUCUGAAUGUUGUUGUUGACCCACGACAUGUGAGACUUGGUUUAUGUUCUGAUGGGUGCACUCCUUAUGUCCAAGCUUCAACAUCCCCAUAUUCUUGUUGGCCUGUAUUUCUUACUCCUUAUAAUUUGCCCCCUGAAGUGUGUAUGACCAAACCAUAUAUGUUUCUAACUUGUCUCAUACCUGAACCAAGUAACCCAACUAAAAAAAUAUAUGUCUACUUGCAACCUCUUAUUGAUGAUCUUAACCAAUUGUGGAAUGAAGGUGUAAUGACAUAUGACAUCUCUACAAGAGAAAACUUUGUCAUGCGAGCUUGCUUGAUGUGGACAAUCAAUGAUUUUUCAGCUUAUGGCAUGUUGUCAGGAUGGGGGACUAAAGGGAAAUUAGCAUGUCCUCGUUGUAUGGAGAACACGAAAGCUUUUACAUUACCACAUGGUGGUAAAAGUAGUUUGUUUGACUGUCAUCGUCGAUUCUUGCCUACUGAUCAUCCAUUUAGGAGAAGCAAAAGGAGAUUUACGAAAAAUAGGACUAAGUCGGAUGGGACUCCUAAUUUCCUAAAUGGAGAGCAAUUGUGGGAAUUUAUUCAAGACUUUCCAAAGGUGAAUGAUGGUCUAUUUGAUACCUUAUUAGGGUAUGAACAAUAUCAUAAUUGGACAAAAAGAUCAAUCUUUUGGGAUCUGCCAUAUUGGAAACACAAUUUGCUAAGACACAAUCUUGAUGUCAUGCAUAUUGGAAAAAAAAAUUGAUAAUGUCUUCAAUAUUGUGAUGGAUGUCAAGGAUAAAACAAAGGACAAUCACAAGGCAAGAAUGGAUGUUGCUGAAUUUUGUGGACAUGGUGACUUGGAAUUGGUUCAGUUACGAAAUGGGAAGUUAGAAAAGCCAAAGGCAAACUACACUUUCACAAAAAAAAAGAUGCAAAAUCAAUUUAUAAAUGGAUUACAAAGUUAAAAAUACCUGAUGGAUAUGCCUCUAACAUUGCCAGGUGUGCAGACAUUGAUAAAGAGAGUAUGCAUAGUAUGAAAAGUCAUGAUUGUCAUGUCUUCAUGAAGUGUUUACUACCAAUUGCAUUUCGUUCAUUACCAGAAAUUGUUUGGAAUGCAAUAGCUGAAAUAAGUCGAUUUUUCAUAUAUUUAUGUUGUAACUCUUUAAGGAUGGAUGAUUUAUAUCGAAUGAAAGGGAAUAUAUCUAUCAUUAUAUGUAAAUUGGAAAGAAUCUUCCCACCAGGUUUCUUUGAUUCAAUGGAACACCUGGUUAUUCAUCUUCCUACUGAGGCAAUACUUGGUGGUUCUGUCCAAUACAGAUGGAUGUAUCCAUUUGAAAGGUAAUCACCCAAUCCUCAGUUUUAUUGUUCAUAAUUAUUGUUCAAUACUUAAAACUUGACAUGUGGUGUAGGUUGAUGAGAGAUGCAAAAUGAUCAGUGGCUAAUUUAGCAAGGGUAGAAGGUUCAAUAUGUGCAUUCUACUUACACCGUGAAAUAACUUAUUUUUGUUCUCAUUAUUUCCAACAUGUAAGCUUGUUGUCAAAUACAAGUUUGAGAAAUGAUCCUCGGACUAGUUCAAAUGAGGGAGUUGAAUCAACAUUGUUCGUUCUCAACAAAUGUGGUCGUCCUAGUGGAUCAUGCAAAGAAUAUUGGCUAAAUGAUGAUGAAUAUCAUUCUGCCCAUGUAUAUAUCCUCAUCAAUUGCAAUGAAGUUAAACCAAUACUUGAGUAUGUUAACAACAACACAAUUUGUAUUGAUUAUGUUUAAAUUGAAGUUUAUGAUUGAUUACUUAUUUAUUUCAAGAUUGUUCUUACAAGUUAACAACAACAACGAAGAGGGAUAUUGAACCUAGUAGUUGUAGCUCUACAAGUCUGUAAUUGGACUGAGAGACAUCACAAUUCAGUUUGAAAAGAUCAUUUUGAGGUAAACUCCAACUUUGUUCCAAGAGACACACUUUAGAAAUAAUAUUGUGAGAGUGUAUUGCUAACACUGCCUUAGAUUCCAAUUUGUUGUUUUGUUUGCAUCUCCAAAUCAUUUAUUAAACUAAAUGCAGGUUUCAAAGGAGAUUAAGUAUGCUGACAAGCAGUCAAUUCUACCUUGGGGACCAAGGUUUGGUGUUGCUUCUUAUGAUUAGUGACAAUGCAGUUUUGUUGUUGUAUAUUGUUAUGGCUACUGUUAGUUUACUUUAAUGGAUGAUUUAAGAUUUAACUUCUCUAGGUUGACAUGUUUCCUAUCUAGUAAUCAAAGUCGGGAUGUCUAUAGGUUGCUUUACCGUAUGGCAGUUAUCUCCCCAUUAUAAAAUGAUCAGAAAGUAUAAGUUUCUGCCAGUUGGAACCUUAUAUAGCUCAACUUUUGUGUCAUCAAGUUACUAUUUUUUAAAGUGUGUUUUAUGUUUUUCUUGGUAUUUUGAAGAGUGUGAAGGUAAGCUUGUCUUGGUAUCUACCAGUUAUGCACCAUUUUAUUGUUCCUCAUUUUUCAUAAAAUAUUUAUAGCUCAACCUUAGUUAAUUAAAGUAACUUUAGUUCAAUUUCAAUCAAAAUAUCUUCAAUCAAAAAUCACCGUUAUCACGUUUCUACCUUUGUAUUUUGGUGCAUGCAAUUGGUUUAACUACUAAGUUCAAAGUGCAAACAAAGCAAAAUGUCUUGCCAAGUUAAUUAGAAUUGGACAAUAUAUGAAAAUACUACUAUCUAUUGGUUGGGGCAACCCACUUAUCCUAAUUAAUAUAUGUUUUUCCUUGAUGGAUCAGUUGCAUGGGGCAGUUGUCUUUUCUAAAAUAGAUCUGCGCUCAGGUUAUCACCAAAUUUCAGUGAAAGCGGAAGAUGUUCAAAAGACUACUUUUAGAUCAAGGUAUGGUCACUAUGAAUUUCUGGUCAUGCCAUUUGGUGUGACCAAUGCUCCAACUAUCUUCAUGGUUUAUAUGAAUCGGAUAUUCUGACCUUUUCUUGAUAAGUUUGUGGUAGUGUUCAUAGAUGAUAUCUUGAUCUAUUCUCGUACAAGGGAAGAACAUGCAGAACAUCUUAGAACUGUCCUGAACAUUUUGAGAGAAAGACAGUUAUAUGCUAAACUUUCAAAAUGUGACUUCUGAAUGUCAGAAAUACAAUUUUUAGGACAUGUCAUCUCUGCACAGGGAAUAUCAGUAGAUCCUUCUAAAGUGGAGGUUGUACUUCAGUGGGAGCGUCCUAAAACAGUUACAGAAAUUAGAAGCUUUGUCGGGUUAGCAGGAUAUUACAGGAGAUUUAUUGAAGGCUUUUCUAAAAUAGUGGCUCCUUUGACCCAAUUUACUAGAAAGGAUCAUCCUUUUGCAUGGACUGAACAAUGUGAGAGAAGCUUUGAAGAGUUGAAAAGAAGGUUGACUAAUGCUCUUGUAUUGACAAUCCCUGAUACCAAUCAAUCUUUUGAAGUUUUCUGUGAUGCUUCCUAUCAGGGAUUGAGUUGUGUUCUGAUGCAAAAUAAGAAAGUUGUUGCCUACGUUUCUCGUCAGUUAAAGGUGCAUGAAAGAAACUAUCCAACUCAUGAUCUAGAAUUGGCAGCAGUUGUCUUUGCUUUAAAAAUAUGGAGACAUUUUCUUUAUGGAGUUAGUUUUGAUGUGUUCAGUGAUCAUAAAAGCUUGAGGUAUUUGUUUGAUCAGAAGGAGCUUAAUAUGAGGCAGAGGAGAUGGAUUUAAUUUUUAAAAGACCAUGAUUUCCAGCUAAUAUAUCAUCCUGGGAAGGCAAAUGUUGUUGCAGAUGGGUUGAGUCGUAAAAAGAUACAAAUGUCGUCACUUAUGAUUAGAGAGCUAGCAUUGAUUGAAGAUUUCAGGAGUAUGAAUUUGGAGGUUUCCAUGUCUUCAAAUUGCACUAGUUGUAAUACACUUGUUAUAACUAAUGAAUUUCUGGAGAAGGUGAAGGAGAAGCAGUUGGAAGAUUCAAAAUUGAAGAACUUCAUGGGCUUAUUUAAUACUGACAAAGCUAAAAACUUCUCUUUAGGAGUGGAUGGUAUUUUGAGAUUCAAAAAUAGAAUAUGCAUACCAGAGGAUAAUGAACUAAAGCAAACAGUGUUAUCUGAAGGUCAUAAAAGCAAACUCAGUUUACAUCCAGGAAUGACCAAGAUGUAUCAAUUCUUAUUGGUGGCAUGGCAUGAAGAAUGAUGUAGCUAAGUUUGUAGCUGCUUGCUUGACUUGUCAGAAAUCAAAGAUUGAACAUCAACGACCUGGAGGUAUGUUAACUCAGUUAGACAUUCCAGUGUGGAAGUGGGAUAGUAUCUCAAUGGAUUUUGUUACCCACUUACCACGUACUUUGAGGAAGCAUGACUCUAUUUGGGUCAUAGUGGAUAGGUUGACAAAGACAGCACACUUCCUACCUAUAGACUUGAGAAUCUCUAUGCGAAAGUUGGCCCAGAUUUACAUAGAUGAAAUAGUCAGAUUGCAUGGUAUACCCUCCAGCAUAGUUUCAGAUAGAGAUCCUAGAUUCACCUCCAGAUUCUGGCAAACACUUCAAGAAGCUUUGGGGACUAAACUUAGACUUAGUUCAGCAUACCAUCCUCAGACUGAUGGACAAUCAGAGAAAACUAUCCAGUCGUUAGAGGAUUUGCUUAGGACUUGUGUGUUAGAUCAUUUAGGCAGUUGGGAUGAAAUUCUACCUUCGGUAGAGUUCACUUACAAUAACAGUUACCAAGCUAGCAUAGGAAUGGCUCCUUUUGAGGCAUUGUAUGGAAGGAAGUGCAGGACACCUUUGUGCUGGUUUCAGGAUGGUGAAAGUGUGUUAAUUGGACCCGAAUUAAUACAACAAACCAAUGAGAAAGUCAAAAUGAUUCAGGAAAGAUUAAAAACAUCUCUCAGCAGGCAAAAAUCUUAUGCAGAUCAAAGAAGAAGACCUUUAGAAUUCUCUGCGGGUGAGCAUGUCUUUUUUAGAGUUACACCGUUCAUUGGUGUAGGAAGAGCACUCAAAUCCAAUAAAUUGACUCCUAAGUUCAUAAGACCUUACCAAAUUCUCCGGAGAAUAGGCCCUGUGGCUUAUGAAAUUGCUUUGCCUCCCUCUUUAGCUAACAUUCACAAUAUUUUCCAUGUAUCCCAACUAAGAAAGUAUGUAUUUGAUCCUAGCCACAUUCUAGAGUCUGAUUCCAUCCAAGUGAAAGAAAAUCUAUCAUUUGAAGUGAAGUCAAUCAGAAUUUUAGAUUCACAAGUGAAACAACUUCGUGGAAGGAGUAUUCCCAUGGUGAAAGUAUUGUGGGAUCUCAUGUCCGGAGAUUCCACUUGGGAAAUUGAAGAGGAGAUACGAGCAUCAUACCCUAACCUCUUUCUUGGUAAGUUCAUUUUCGAGGACGAAAAUUUUUGUAGUUGGAGAUAAUGUAAGAACGUUAAAAAAAAAAGAAUAAAAAAGAAUAAAGGUGCAGAGAAGCCCCUUCUCCCCCACCACAGUUUUUUUUUCUUCUUUCUCUCUCUCUCUAUAUUCUCUUCUCUCCCUCUCUCCUAAUUUUCUCUCCCAAUCUUCAUCUAUUUUAGAAUCUGAUCGUACCAUUUUGUAGCUGAGGAGUUAAGGAACAUUUCUACCCGAUCAGAUUUUCAAACAGAGUAAGUUCAUUUUUUACUCUAAAUAUCCUUUGUUCUCUGUUUUUCCUUAGGAUUUAGUCAUCAAUCUUGGUAGGGUCAGUUGAGAAGUUUAAUCCUCUCAACUUAUUCUACUAUAUACUAAAUUUUUGUUCUGUUUGGAUAACUUGCAUUAGGCCCGUAAAUCUUGAAGCUUAUCCAGACUGUGGGGAAUAAAAUUCUAAAAGUUGCUUGGAAAGCAAGCAAUUGAGGUAAGGGAAGCUAAAUUUAAUUUUUAAUAGCACCCUAGGAUAGGAUAUCUGAAUGCGAAAGGGACGUGGUCCCAAUAUUGAAUUUCUCUUGCAGGGGUAUUAUUUGUUUAUAUAUUAUUUAAACUUUAUAAAUAUUGUUUUUGACGUUGGAAAAUUUUUGAAUGAUAUGUAUUAUAUACGAAUGACGUAAAUUGUAUGAAAUUGAUGUCAUACAUUUGGGAUAAUGUAUGAGUUGUUGUUUGAUGGUACGUUAAGUAUGAAAAGCCUAUGUUUAACGGAGAUCCUCUGGCUUCACUAAUGAUCUAAGUCAUGUAGACUAAGAUAUUAGGUGGUGAGAAGAUGAGAGGGAGUUCAUACACACUGGGUUCCAUUGUAGACACUCGAUAUUGGAUGUUUGAACUUACCCUGAUCCUUUCUAUUGGAUUCGCUGGUAAUCUUUGGGUCAGGUGUUAGUCUCUGGUAGGGGCAUACUUAAUUAGUCUUCCGGAAGAUGAAGUGGGAUUGAAAUGAAAUCCAAUGAUUAUGAUUGAAAAUAGAUCCAUGUGUGGUCUAUAUGAAUGAUGAAAUUGGUAUUGAAAUUUUACAUGAAAUCAUUUAAAGAAAUGUUUAUAAAUUAUUAGUCUAAAUUGGUUCUAUUUCUAUGAAUUAUGUUAUGGAUUUUCUUUGCACUAGCUUACCCUUGAUUUUCGUGUUGUGUUUGAACUGUGAUGACUGUACUAUGUACACAAGCAGAUGACCAUACAGGUGUAGGAGAGCCUUAGAGGUUUCAGAGUUUUAUUUGAGCUAUGGAUAUGUAAAUAUUUGUAUUUCUAUAAAUCCUAAUCAUGUAUUAGGAAUGUUUUGAAAAACUCCAAGUUUGUAUAGAAUCUGGUAGAACUUUUAUUGUAAUAGUUAUAUGUAAAUUAUGGGGUGUUACAAAACUCACGCUACUUUAGAAAUGUGUGGACAUCUCGAAGGCUAAGCCCACUCUAUUUUAAAUGAAAUAUAAUUUUGUGUAGGCGAAACGUCCAUCAAACCCACUAUUUUUUAUAAAUUUGUCAACUCUUUGUAGACUAAGCCCACACUUGACUUACACAAAAAGCACCCGCCAAUAUCUUUACGUCAACUACAUUAGCUUCGAAAUUUCCAUUAACGCUAUGCCCACAAUAAAUAACCUUUUGCGUAGGUUUUUUAUAGUUAGGGUCGGUGUUUGGCCAUUCUAAUCAACAUUUUUUUUUGUAGCGAAAAGAGUUGUUUAUAUUUUCACCAAUGGUUAGAUCAAAAUUUAUUCUAUGUUCUAAGGUUUGUGAAUAAUUUCUCAACCAUCAUUUCAAGAGCACUAAAGGCCGUGAUUAUAAAUGGAGAACUAUGGUAAUAUAUCAUUAAAGAUUUAAAUAUCUCUUUGUGGUCUUUUGAUUUUACUUAUUAUAGAAAAAAAUUGUUUUUAGUUCUUUUAAACUUUAAAAUUGUUAUUUUUUUAUAUCUUUAGUGUUAUAUGACACUGAUUAACUAUUUAUUGAAUGAUAAAAAAACUCAAGUGACUAUUCAAGCGACACACAUGACUUAUUAUAGCUAAUUUGUAUGAGAAAAGUCUUUGAUAUCUUAGAGAUUUGGGAAACAAAUGCACAUAAUUAAUUACCUUGAAUAUAUAGGCUAGAUGUAUAUGAUGCUUUUAAUUUCUGGAUAAUAUAUCUUAGUACACUCCAAGCACCAUUGCAUGAGUAUUCAUGUUACAAUGAUUUCUUUUGCUCAUUUGUGUCAACACAUUUCCUUAUUCAAGUGAGUUUCUUUUAUUUCUAUUCCAUUUUCUUCUAAUUUGGUGGGUUAUAUUUCAAAUUAACUUAUUUGUAAUGUUUAUGGAAUUUUUAAUUUGAGAUGGUGUAUAUAAACUGUUUAGAAGCAUAAAUAUAAGGUGUUAUGUUUCAGAUUGUAAAAUACAUAAUGCUUUUAUAUAAAUACAAAAAUGUUUUAUGGAUGCAUUCAAAAAUUCAUAUAAUGCUUUUAUAGAUACAAAAAUGUUUUAUAGAUGCAUUCAAAAAUUCAUAAAGACAUAAGACAUUCUGAAUUUUGAAAUCAAAAUGUAGAAAAUGCAUUAUGAUAUUUGCUAUCUUAUCUUUAUUUGAUAUUUGUCAUCGACAUGGAAUCUUCUUAUGCAUUUCUUGACGUACACUUGAAUAAAAGCUUGAUGUAGCUAGUUUUAUUAUUGAAUAUUUCUUGCACUUCAAAAAUUGUUUUAAUAAGAAAAUAAUUCAAAAAAUUUAUUGAAUAUAUAACAUUGAAUUUUUUCAAAUACGUAUUGUACAAUAUAUUAUUUUCAUAUAAAAGAAGUUAGUUUAUAAUCAUUUGAUGUGAAAUAUUUUUAUACUUGGAUUCUGAAGUUGAUGGUAUGAAUUUAAUAAAUUUAAAAAAAAAUUAUAUAAUAUAUCUUUGUUACAACUUGUUUAUGUAAGACAAAGUUUAAGGAUAUAUAAACAUACAUAAGAUGUUGAAACUGUUUGUAUCAUUAAAUGGACUAGUUGUCCUACCUCUAGCACAAAACACAUAUUUGUUCAAAUAAUAAACACAUAUAUGAAGAUACUUUAGUCUAAGUAUGUCAUUAAAGCUCUUCUUAAAGAGUCCACUAGCGUUAGGUUGUCUAUAUGAGCUACAUAGAAGUUAGAUCAUCUAUGUUCUCAACAAAGUUUUGAUGAUAGCUAAUGUUGAAUGAGCUAUAUACAUAUUAUUACAUACAGGAACAUUUUAAUGUGUGUAAGUUAAAGCUCAUGAGACUAUCCAAUGGUCACUAUCAAUAUUAAAUGCUACAUGAAGUUUUACAUAUUAAGGUUAAAACUUAUAUCUAACUAAAUUGUAAUCAUAAAUUAUUUCUAGAGAUAAAAUGAAUCUUGGUAAAUUUGUAGUGUCACAUACGUCUUUAAUGAUUAAAUGCAACAUGCAAACGUAGAAUUUAUAUUCUAAAAUGUUCAUAUUAGAAUAUAAAAAAGAAAACAAAAGAAACAUAUUUUGAUUUACAAUUAUAUUGUAUUAUGUUUUUAUUACAUGUAUUUGAAAUGUUUCCUUAUGAAAAUAAGAAAGAGUUAAAGAGUAUAAAGGUUUUUUAUAAAAGUUUCUAGUCAACCCAUGUUAAGGGCCAUGUUAAGGGACGCAAUGCGUAAUCCACAUAGAUGAUAAAAGCUUAUUUCAAAGGAUUCAAACAAAAUAAGAUUGAAGCAGCGAUUAUCUUCAAAUGGUCUAUAUAAAGGAUUCAAGUUAUAUGUGAAGUACGUACAAGAGUUGUACAUUUUUCUAAGACUCAUAAUUUGCUAAGUGUUCUUUGUGGGUGAUGUGAUUCCAAUAACAUGAAAGAGAUAUGAUAUGGACAUGUUAUGGAUUCAACAAGAGUUGGAAUAUGAUUAGGCACUUUUUAAGAAUUGGAUCAAUGUUCUUAACAUUCAAGAACUCACCAAAACACAAGUAACCAAGCCAAACUCACAUAGAAACCCAUAAUAUGGCAUAUGAACCGAUUAAAACAAGAAAGAACACAAAUGAACCGAUUAAAACACAAGGAAACACAACCAAAACCACAAGAACAGCAAACUAGAAGAAACUACCGAACAAAAACACAAAACAAAACUAUUUCUACCGAUUGAAAAGACAAGAAACAUCAAAGACAUGUUUUAGAGUUUGUUUUGGAAUGGAAAUGGAUGAAGAAGAUGAAAAGAACUAGGAAACUUAUGUGGUUGUAGCUCUUGAAGAUGUGCACGCCACUUGAAGGAUGAAAGGCUUCAAGAUGAGUGUAGUUGCCGCCACUUGAGAGUCCAAGAAUGCACUCAAGAUAAGACUAGAAGAGAAGAAGUUACAAGUCUCUCUCAAUUCACUCACCAAUUUGGGAGAGGUUCUUUUCUCAAAAAAUCAAUUCUUAUUAUUUCAAAGACCUAAGCACCCUUUUUAUAAUAGAGAGGGUUAGUCACAAAGUACAAGAAAAGCUUACAAGAGAAGCUUUUGAAAGGUCACCUUCCUACUCCUUCUAUUCUAGCGCCUAAAGGAGUGUGAAGAGACAACUUUCUAGUUUCUUCCUAAAAACUAACGCCUAAGGUACUUACAAAAGAGGUGUCUUUUUGGUUUCCCUCUUAGUACCUUCCUAAACACUACUCCUAUAUGUUUUACAAAUUUAUACAAAAGAAAUUACAAAGAAAAAUAUUAAUUGGAGCCCAUUCUUGAAUUCUUGUUGGCUUUGGGCUUGAUCCUCUCUUUAUUUAAUUCUUCUUUAAUUUUUUAGAAGACUAGAAGGAAGAACUUUAAAUGUUUGGGUGGAUGGCCUCUUCCUCCAUUAGUAAAAUCCUCUCUUACUUGAUCUCCAUCAGUGGGUGAGCUAAACCUUUAUAUUUCUUUACUCUGUGAAGUAAAUCUUGUGAGCUUAAAUUAUUCUCCUUUUUAGAGUUCUUUGUUACUUGUUUUAAGGUCUAGAUCUUAAUCUUAGACAGAGACUAAGACAGGAUAACCGGAAAUAGUUUGUAUACUCAUUGUAAUAAUUGUUUGAUUAAUGAAACUUCAUAAGAAGUUGUCUUAAGGAAAAAUUAAAUGCAACAUGUGAGUUUGGAUAAACCGGUGUAAAACUACUUUUUAUUGUUUUGAUUUACUAAUUUCUCAUACAAUCUAAUCUAAUUGUUAGCAUAAAGUUUUAUUUAACCUCCCAUUCUAAAGUGAAUUAUUACAACAUAUUUCAUUUAAGAUAAUUAAUUAUUUGAGCAUCUUGAACUUACUCUUAAACUUUUGAAACUCAAAAUAAUGAAUAAUAUAUAAAAAUAAUCAAUUAUUUUAUUCUUAGUAUUCUCCAUCACUAUUUUUUCUCAAAUGAUUUACAAAAUCAUACUUAACCAUACAACACCAACAUUCUAUAACACUUAUUACCAUACAUAUACACAUUUUAAACAUAAAAACAAACCCAUUUCAUAACCACUAACUUAAACAUAUGAUGGAACGUUCAAUCAUUAAGUUGAAUUUUCUAACGUGCUACAAUAUUUAGUUGCAAUCAUAAUGUAUGGUCAUGUUAAUACUAGCCUUCAAAAAAUAAAUGAUUGUGAUUAUACUGUAAUAAAACUAAAAACAAUAAAAUUAAACACAUAAACAGUACUUAUAACAUACCAUCCAAAAAUAAUUAUUUUUAGUUGGUUUAUAUUAUUAAAACCUCUCAUUAUUCAUCAUGUCAUUAAUAAUUUUUUUUAAAUGAGUUCAUUCUUAUAAAACAUCAUAUCUAACAUUACUUGAAUAACAAAAUGAACAUCGAUGUUCAUAUUAAUAAUAUUAGGUAUAAAUCAAUACAAGCCAACAUGAGAACUUGUUUUAUUUUUAUAAUCACCUUUAUUUUUACUAUCUCCUGUUACUUGAUUUCCCAAAUAUAAUUGUCAUACAUAAAAAGAAUAACAUUCACAUUAUCUAACAUAUGAUAGCUUACACUUUGUAGGUCCUACAAAUCUACUAACUUGAGAUUUUAUUUAUUUAUUUUAACCUUAUUUAUUGAUGCCCAUAAAAAUAUGUUUAAAGUUUACUUUUGAUUGUCACUUUAUGUAUGAUAUAAAUGAAUUAGUUUAUAUACUUGUAUGUGAUAUAUUUUGAUAAAAUUGGAUAUGUGAUAUAUUUUGAUAAAAUUGGAUUAUUUAUAUUUUAUAGCUUUAUGUAUGAUAAAAUGUUAAUGAUUGUUUUAAAAUUAAUGAAAUAACGUAUUCUGAUUUUAACCGUUUAUAUAUUUUGACCUUGGAAUUGACAUUAUCCAUUCUGAUUUCAAAAUUAAACUUCUAAUCGCAUGUUUUUGUAAGAUUAUUCUGAGUUCAUCAUACAAAAUAUUUUGCAUGUUUAAGAAUAUCUACCAAUUAUACCACAAUAUGAGUACAGAGCACAGAGAAAGUUAUAAUUAAAUUCAUUGAAAAAUGUAUACAGAUUAAAACUUAUAUAAAUUUUAAUAUUUUGCCAACAAUCACUAUAACAAAGUCCCACAUCAUGAAGCAAGGUAAACUAUUAGUAUUAGCAAGUAACAUUUCUUACUCAUUCUUCAUCAUCCACCACAAGUGUUAUAAAGAACCUAUUGUUCUAUUCAAACUCAUAAAUAUCACAUAAAUAUAAAAACUUAGCAUAUCAUAGUAUGAUACAUCAUCAUACAUGCUUUCCACACCUCUAUACCCCUCCGAGUCGCGCGGCCAUCAACCUCUACUCUCCACCGAUGGACGAUUUCAACCGUCUAAUCCCUAUAGCGGUCGUCAUGCCUGUGGCGGCCGUCGAGCAGUCAUCCUUAUCGGUUCUAGGGGUGACUUGCGUUUUUCAAGGGCAGUGAAUUUCAACCUGCCCCGAACACCAAGGACCUCAUCCGAGCGGUCCCUGAGGACGACCUCCUCGACGGUGACGUCGAGAUGAUGUGUCGUGGCCUUAUACUGACCUGCCACGGGGUGGAGGCACACAGGCGGCGUAUUGAGGAGCUCUCGCGCCUCGAGCAUCAGCUUCAGAAGGCGUCCGACAACUUGAAGCAGGUUGUUGAGGCCAACAUAGCUUAUGAGAAGAAGUUGUGUGCGCAAGCUGCCAAGUUGGAGCUUGGUGCGGCCCGGAUGACCAAGUUGGAGAAGGUUGAAGCUGAGAGGGCGACUGAGAACGCUCGGCUAAGGAGGGCCCUGGAAGAGGCCGAGCGCAAGGGGGCAUCUCUAGAAAGAGAGGUUUUUUUUGCAUCAAGGGAAGGAGGCGGCAGAGGCUGAGGUGCUUAAGACCAUGGAGGACACCAUGGUCUUGAUUACUCAGAGCUUCGACCUGGCCGUCCGACAGGCUGGGGUGUUGUACGGUGGGCUUCAACCUUCUGGUCAAUUCGACCAAGAGAUGGAGGUCUUUGACGACCGAUUGGUCCCCAUGAGCGAGGUCCAGAAUUUGCAGAGCGCUGUCCAGCCUGCCUCGAGCGAGGAUGCUGAAGAUCAAAGCUUAGGUUUAUAGGUUUUGUAACCUCGUUCAUUUUGUUUCCUUGAGGCCUGAGUGUGGCCUCCACCUUUUGUUGAUGAAUAGAAUUGGUCAUUUUUGCUUUCAAGAAUUUGCAUAGGUUAUUUCCCUCGGUGGGUAUGAGUGUGAGUUAAAAACAACCAACCUAAUUAACCCCACUGGUGUAAGUUAAUCUUCUCGGUCGUUUAAAAAGUAAAUCAUUUAACGAAUUGGAUUGGGAUGGCGGUCGGCCUUUGAAGCAUAACGAGAUAACGAACAUGUAUUUGGACAAGUUAAAUCACUCGUCAGGUUGGUUCCACGUUCGGUCGUGAUGAGCGAUAUUAGAUGGAUCGAGAUACUCAAAUGGGUAUCGAGAGGAGGUGCAGGUUAAGGCUACAUCCUAACUGAACCGUGCAGUGCUGAAAGGGUAUGCUAGUUAAGGCUACGUCCUGGCCAACACUCGUAUUUGGGUCUCGGGAGGGUAUGUCGGUUAAGGCUACAUCUUGGGCGAACCGUGAAGUGUUGGGAGGGUAUGCCGGUUAAGGCUACAUCCUGGCCAACACUCGUGUUUGGGUCUCGGGAGGAUAUGCCGGUUAAGGCUACAACCGUGAAGUAUUGCGAGGGUAUGUUGAUUAAGGCACGUCCUGGCCAACACUCGUGUUUGGGUCUCGGGAGGGUAUGUCGGUUAAGGCUACAUCCUGGCCGAACCGUGAAGUGUUGGGAGGGUAUGCUGGUUAAGGCUACGUCCUGGGCAAAACUCGUGUUUUAGUCUCGAAAGGGUAUGCCAGUUAAGGCUACAUCCUGGGCGAGUCGUGCCUCUUAGGUUGAUUUUACGAUUUACACAUUAUUUGAAGAAAACGCCUUAUCAAAACCUCUUUGACCGUUGGUGCUGCCGGGCGAGGAAAGAGUGCAUGAAUUUAUUCAUCAUUCAGCUGAAAUAAAAUUUGAGGUGUGUGGCAUUCCACGUCCUUGGUACAAUUUUGCCUGAUAGCCGUUCUAAAUGGUAUGCUCCCCCUACUCCUACUUCUCGAACCCGAAACGGUCCCUCCCAGUUUGACGAAAACUUGCGUCCAACUUCCUAGCGUCGCUUUGCAUCCUCUAGACGAGGUCACCUUUGUGGAAGCUCUUUGGUUGAACCUUCGUGUUAUAUCUUCUUGCCGCCCGAAGUUUGCAAGCGGCUUCGCGGAUCUUGGUUUUAUCACGAAGCUUAUUGAUGAGAUAGAGUCCGACCGCCAAGCUUUCCUGAUUAAGGGAUAAGUCAAACAAUUGUUGCCUGAUGGACGGUUCACCCACUUCCACCGGGAUAAUGGCCUCGGUGUCGUAGAUAAGGUUGUAUGGUGUCUCUUGUGUCGUCGUCUGAGGUGUGCACCGAUAUGCCCACAGAACCUCAACCAGGUCUUCUGCCCAUCUUCCCUUUGUCGCGCCAAGUCUCUUCUUCAAUACAUUCAAGAGGACUUUGUUGGCCGCCUCGACUUGGCCAUUUGUACGAGGGUGUUCGACCGAGUUGGUCACAGACUUGAUGUCGAGGUCCUCAUAGAAUGUCUGGAGCCCUCGGUCAAUGAAUUGUUGUCCAUUAUCUGAUACGAUCAUGUUUGGCAGCUCGAACCUGCAGACGAUGUUCUUCCAAACAAAAUUUUGGACGUUUCUGGCUAAUAUGGGCACUGGGGGUUUGGCCUCUAUCCAUUUCGUGAAGUAGUCCACUGCAACCAACAGGUGUUUCGUCUGACCUUUGCCAGGUGAGAAAGAGUCGAUGAUGUUCAUUCCCCAUAUGGCAAACGGUUAGGGUGACGUCAUGUUGUGGAGUUCUUCUGGUUUUGAGUGGUGUAGGGGGUCGAAUUCUUGACAUUUCAAGCAUUUCUUUACGUACUCUGCACAAAACCUUGGAUAGUCGGCCAAUAGUAUCCUACUUGAAUGGUCGACCAAUAGUAUCCUACUCAGAUGACCUUGGCCGCCAUGAUUCCAUCCGGAGUGAUUACCGCAAGCUCCAUCAUGGAUUUCUUGCAAGUUUGCUUUUGGUGAGGCAAAGGAGUGGAGUACCCCUUCUAAGUUAAAAUUAUAGGUUUAUGUAUGACAUAAAUGAAUUAGUUUAUAUACUUAUAUGUGAUAUAUUUUGAUAAAAUUGGAUUAUUUAUAUUUUUAUAGCUUUAUGUAUGAUAAAAUGUUAAUGAUUGUUUUAAAAUUAAUGAAAUAACGUAUUCUGAUUUUAACCAUUUAUAUAUUUUGACUUUGGAAUUGACAUUAUCCAUUCUGAUUUCAAAAUUAAACUUCUAAUCGCAUGUUUAAGUAAGAUUAUUAUGAGUCCAUCAUACAAAAUAUUUUGCAUGUUUAAGAAUAUCUACCAAUUAUACCACAAUAUGAGUACAGAGAAAGUUAUAAUAAAAUUCAUUGAAAAAUGCAUACAGAUUAAAACUUAUAUAAAUUCUAAUAUUUUGCCAACAAAUCACUAACAAAGUCCCACAUCAUGAAGCAAGGUAAACAAACUAUUAGUAUUAGCAAGUAACAUUUCUUACUCAUUCUUCAUCAUCCACCACAAGUGUUAUAAAGAACCUAUAUUGUCUAUUCAAACUCAUAAAUAUCACAUAAAAAUAAAAACUUAGCAUAUCAUAGUAUGAUACAUCAUCAUACAUGCUUUCCACACCUCUAUAAUAGAUGCAAAUUUAUUUACAUAAUUUUACCUAUAUAUAUAUAUAUGUAUAUAACUAGUAUAUAUGCGUCAUGACAGUCACUCACAAAUUCAGUUACGUCGAAAAAAUCAGAAUAGGUUCAGAAACUUGCGAAUCUUCUUGGCGAACGAAUUUUCCUCGCGGUGCUGGUGGUGAAUCUGGCCGCGGUGAUGGUGUUCGCGAACGGAAUCGAAGCGCUCUGCGGUCGUCAGAGACCGUACCUCGGCGUCGGCGUGAACCGUGACCCAGCGCGGAUGGAUCCGGCUAGCGGAGGCUUUGUCGAGCACGAUCGCGUCGUUUCCGUAAGGGAUCUGGAGGCCGUGGCCGUGGCCGUGGCCGUGGCCGUGGCCGUGGCGGCAGCGGCGGUGGCCGGAGCGGAGUGAAAGCGGAAGCGCCGACGGAUGGACGUGGUGGAAGUGGCGGUUGAUCGGACGGAAGCGGAGGAACGUAAGGGGAACGGGAUCGAUGGUCGCGACGGUGAAGGAAACGGUGCCGUCUUGAGUUUUAGGUUCGGGACUGUUCAGAGGUUCGGAUUGAGGUUUAGGUUCGGGAAAGGGGUUUUGGAGAUCGUGCGCUAGUGUGAGGGUGAGGAGGAAGAGAAAGGAGAGGAAAACGGUAAGGGAAGGAGCUAUUCUCGCCAUGGUGUAGGGCGUGUUUGGCUGUAAAUGUGAAACGGGGAAACGGAAAGAGAUAAAAGGAGUUGCGAGGAAGGAGAAUUUUCUCGCUUAUGUCGUAAGAAUCACGUUGCAGCACGACUUGACUUUGUUCCAGGUAAAAUCAUCAUCACUAUAAUACUUUAUUUUCUUUUAUAUUUUUUUACUAGUUUUAAUGGGUGUUGAUGUAGAUAGAUCAAUAAAAUAAUGAGACGUAUGAAAAAAGGUUAUGUAUUUAUAACAUAUUUUUUAUUAUUAAUUCAAAAAUUCAAAAAAAUAAAUAUGUCAAUUUGUUUCUUUAAUAGUUUUUUAUUUAUAAUUUUUUAUUUUUAAUAAAUUUUAACAAUAAAAAAAAGUAUUGGAAAGAGUGGGUUGCUGACUCGUUCUAAAAAUAUUAAAUUGAUUUUAUAAGCUAUGUAAUAAAAAAGAAAUAUUUGAAAAGGAAGUAAACGAUAAAAAAUUGUAUGUAUGGGUGUUAUUUUUUAAUUUGAUAAUUUUAUAUUCUAAUAAAUAAAAAUAAUAUUUUUUUAAAAAUAAUUCAAUAAUUUCUUUAAAAAAUAAUGGUUGUAUAAUUUUUAUAAUAUUAUUUUUACAAAAUUAUAUAUAUUUUUAAUUAAUUACUCAUAAAAGUAAUAAAAUUAUAAAAUUGCAUAUAUUUUGAUUUAAUAAAAAAUAUGGAUAUACAUAUACUGAAGAGCAUGUGUUUUUCUAUUGUGAAUAAGAGUUCAAUUCAAAUUAGUAAGGUUGUCACCGAGUGUAUGAGUUAAUUUGCGUUGACUUGAUUUAGUUUAUUUAGUUGAUUUAGUUAGUGAUCUUAAAUUAUUUUUCUACACUAAAAAAAUUACUACGGUUAAAAAAAAUACAUUGCAAGUGUAAUGGAUAUUUUUAAUAGUAUAAUUUAUAAUUUUAACAAAUAAAAAGUAUUUUCAUCUUGAGAGUGUUUGUGUUUUACAUCUACUCAAAAGUCAUGUUAGUUGUGAUGUUUUUGGGAGAGUAAACACUUGUUGAUUAUAAAACACAAUAUGUAAACUAAAAAUUAAAAAAAAAAAUCAACAAUUAAAAUAUUAAUAAAUGUGAUUAUACUAAAUAAAAAUAUUUAAGGGUUCUUCUUUAUUUAACUGAUAAUAUAGUGAUGAAAAUAUAAUCAAGAGUAAAGUGUUUGAAACACUUUUAAGGGUUUGGAGGACGUACCAGAAGAGUAAGGACAAUGAGAGUCAAGAAAAUUUUACAAUAAGUAUGAUUCCCUUUUAUUAAACCCAAGAAUGACGACUUCUUUUUUCAUAACGUGGUUCUGAUAUCAACAAAUGGUAUAAACCCUCUUGUUUGUUAAGAUCUUGAGUUUUGACAUCUAGAAAAUCAGACAAAGAAUUGAAACAAGGAAAAAAAAAGUUGAACACUUAAGUUCACAGACAAAGAAUUAGAAUUAUGCAUUAUGAACAAAAGAUAAAAAAUGAUAUAGAAAUUGAGGACGCCACACUUCCCUAAGGACGAAAGUUAUUUGUGAGAAUUGAACAAAAAAAACUAACAAAUAAGGUCAAACAAUCUCCUCUUCAAUGAGACAAUUGAUGAAUAUCAACUUUGAUUCUUCAAGACUUUGUUUUAUUUUAGGAAGCUUUGUCAACCCUUGUUUUGAUUCUUCACAACUUUGUUUUAUUUUAGUAAGUGUUGUCAACCCUUGUUGUAAAGCUUCCUUUUGGCUCUUCUUGUUCUUGCUAUUGUCAUAGAUUCACCAAACUCAUUAAGUGUUUCAAACUCCUUACUUAUGGUUUUGUCCUCGCCACUAUUUUUAAUUGAACUAAGGUAUUAAUGAUUCUAAGAUGUUAUAGAAAAAAAGGAUGAAAUAAAAAAAAUCAUAAAAAGAAACAAUUAUCAUAAAUAAUAAAAAUAUUUUGUUAAUAGUGAAUUGAUAAAUUAAUAAAAUGAGUAAGAAUUAUUAAUGAUGACAUUUGAAUAUAGUUUAAAUAUUCAAAAUAACUAAUAAAAUAGUUUAAAUUAUCUUAUAUAUAUUUAGGCAAUAAAAUGUUUGACAAGUAGUGAGAAUGUGGAAAAAAACUUAUAGAAUAAAUUGUUCAAAAGAGAUUAUAGCUCAAAAAUGAUAAAAUUCAAAAGGUUAUUAUUUCUCUUAUUUAUUGUUGAAUUUUGUUUAAGCAAAUAAUGGUCAAGCUAUUAUUGUUUUCGAGGUAAUUGUAAAAAUUUCAAUAAACAUCAUAAAAAGAUGAACACGUAAACACAAGUUAUAAAAGGCAUAGUAGAGUUCAUUAUUGAAAAUGAACAAAAGUAUACAAUUGAUCAUAAAAUCUUAGUUGAGAUGAUUGCCAAUGAUUGUCAUAUUAGGCAGAUGAUGAAAUCAUGAGUAGCACAACACUAAUUGGGUCAACUCAGCCUCUUAGAAAGGAAAAAUAGGAGUAUGAUACAGGAUCCAAGGUUAACUCAGACAUCUCAGAUUACUAAUGACUCAGGCUCUAUCAUUUCGCAAAGGAUCACUAGGAGUAAAACACAAUAACAAGGAUCAGGACAUCAACUGUUCUCUUUUUUAUUAUUUUUAUAGACUAUGAUUUAAAUGUAAUAAAUUGGGCUUCUCCUUAACCCAAUUAGGGUAAUGUAACCUAGCUUUUAGAAACCCUAGCAUAUGAUGCACCUAAGUCACACUUUUCUCACAUUAAGCACAUGUUUAAAUGUGGAAAGUGUGCUUCCGUUUAGAUCCAUGAUUACAUGCGCAUGUUUAGGGACUUAAGUAGGGUUAAUUUGAAUUUUCCUCCUCCCUUUAAUUACGCAACACCUACUCUUAUAAAUAGAGAGUUUUCUCUUGUAAACUACACUUGAUUUUGAGUAAAGAAACUCAAGUAUUUUUCAAUUAGUCUAAAUUAUCUACUUUUACUCUGAGUGUUAUCUUGAGUGUGAACUUCAAGUGAUGGCUCUUCAUCACUCAUUUUGGAGUCUCCUUCCAAAUGGUAUGAUCAAUCUUCUUCAAUGAAUUUACUUCUUCCAUAAGCUUCCCUGUCUACUACUCUUUUCUAUCUUCUUAUUACUUCAUCUUUUUUAUCUUUGUAUUCAAUUCUAGUUUCCCAUAUUAUACUUCCAUGUCCAUGUAUGUUUUUCUUUAUUUUUCUACUCUUUAAAGGCCGUUUUCACACUUAUAUAAUUCCCUUUGGAUUAUAUUUGUGUCCAAUAACAAUUUUCAUUGAAUUUUAUCCAUAAUUAAAUUCUUCUAAAAUAAUAAAGUGAAUUCUUUAGAGAGGGUUUCAAGUUGUAUCAAGGUAAAUAUUUUUCACAAUUUAUCUCAUUGCGGUUUUCAAUUGAUAUUUUAUGUUAUAUUGAUAAUUACUUUUUUUUAGUACAUUGUUUUUAUUGAAUAAAUAUUGUCUCAUGUUAUAUUGAUAAUUACACCUUUUUUAGUACAUUGUUCUUAUUGUUCUCUCAACUCCUUUGUAUUUUUUACUUGAUCUAGUCUUUUGAAUUGUGCAACUUUUCUUUAGUUAAAUUCUUUUUCAGCUUUCAAUUUUAACUUCUUUCACAUUAUUUUGGUCAUAGACCUUUCGAAUUUUGUGUUUUUCAAACCAUCUUAGCUUGCCCUACCUCCAAGUCAUUUUUGAAUUAUUUGUUUUAGGCUAAAAUUUUUAAAUAUUAUUUUAAACCUUAUAUUUCUUUAAUUAUCUUGUAGGUCUAGCUUUAUAUGUAAUUUUUGACCCAUUAUCUCAUUGUCAAACAUUUUGAGCAUUACUAAAACAAUGCAACUCGAACAUCUGACUUCUUGAAUAUGUAAUAUCCAUUUAAGACUAGAUGUCAAGUUGCAUGAAAGCUUUUAUAAAAAUAAUAUCCAUUUGAGACUUACUAAGAUUCUAUGUUUGAUUCAUUGAAGGCAAAUUGUAUUUCUAAAAGAUCAAAUUAAACAAAUGUUAAUAAAUUAAAUGCAUCAAAAGAGAGAGAAAGGUAAAUGCAUCGAGAAAGAGAAGGGUGAGGCCCUUAUUUUGAUAAAAUUAUAGAAAUAUCAAAAGAGUCAUGUAUUUGAAGAAGUUACAUAUUCGAAAAAGUUGUUCAGACCAAAGCAGGGAUCAUGAAGAGCAUGGAAAAUUACAAUUACUUACUGUACAUGUAACUUUCCAGUGAAGAUAAGUGGACCUUUGACAAACUCAAUGUGUCAUGUAGUAAUAAAUAACUAAAAAAAAUAAGUCUAUAAAUAAAUAUUUGUACUUUUAUGGGGUGGAAAAAAUGAACAGAGUAACAAUAUUUCUAAAACAUGAGAAAGGGUAGUGAAAUGAGUUUGUGUCUUUAUUCACGAACUUUCUAUAUAAAUUAUUCAAGUUAUCAUUAUCUUCUGGAUAAAAUUUCAUUGCAAUUUAUAUUAUUGUUUCCUUAUUUACAAGGGUUAUUGAUAGGAAUUUUCCUAUCAAUUAUUAGAUAGUGGUUAGUUUUCUUACUGAGGAAUGGCUAAAGCAUCCCUUAUUUGAGUCAUUUAGCCAACUAACAAUCAAAAACUAACAUUAGUUGUUUGGACUAAUGGAUUCGACAGUGGUCAUUUGCUAAGAUAGCAUAUUACAAGUGUUAUGGUUUCAGUUUCUGGAUAUUAUUCUUGUUGAGAGGUUCACAUCAACUGAGAACAUUUUUCAUCCUAGUUCUUAUUAUAGACCAUGUUUGAGUCAACACGAGACUCAUCAUCAACACAUUUGUUGAUACAAUUUGUUUGUUAUAUAUAUUAAGGGUAAAGUUAUUGUAAUCAUAUCACUAGUUAAUACAUUUUGCACGUCUUGUAAACCAUAUUAACAUUUUUUUUCAUACAUUGUUAGUGGUUUUGAUUAACAUUAAUAAUAUUUAUAUUUUGAAGAGUAUUAGACAUAAUAAUUUUAUUAUUCCUUAAUUUCAUACAUGUCCGAAACAUUUAAAUUAGUCAUUAUCUCUUUACACAUUUUUCUUACUUUGUAAACACAAGUUCCACUGAACGUGUCAAUUUGUUUUUAUAAAAGAUGAAUUUAGUAUUUUAUUCAAUAAAAAACAAAUGCAGAUUAUAGAUUAUUUUUAUUUAGACUACCAAUCUUAAACAUUAAAUUAUAGGGAAAAUAUAGAAAUGUUCCUUUUUAUAAUUAGUUGAUUUUUGGAAUUAAAAGUACAAAAUGAUAAUUUAUACAUAUUUUUUUAGUUUUCUAAUUUUACAUUUAAAGAAAAUUUGCAUAAAAUGUAAAACUGUUAUAAAAGUAAAUGAUCAAGAUAUGUUGGAAGAUAAAAAAGAUGAAAUACUUAAAAGUCAAAAUUCUAGAUUAAAUAAAAAAAAAAAUCAAAGACUUCAAUAAAGAAAAUUGAAAUUUGUAAAACAACACAAUAUGAAAAAGAUUAACAUUGAAUCAACAUUAAAAAAAUUAAAUGAAAAGAAAAAAUGUAUAUUGCAAUGAAAUUUUACCAAGACAAAGAAAACUUGAAUAACAAAUGCAUAAAAUUGGUUAACAACACGGAUUAUUUCAUACAUUGACAUUUACACUACGUUGGUUAGAUGUCCACUUUUCUUUAUUUACAAAAAAAAAUAGACGUAGAGUAAACAAUUGGAACUUUCCACGUUCUUUGUAAUCUCUACUUCGAUUUAAAUUACUUUUCUUCAUGCAUGAAACUCUUCUUUACAUAAUUUAUAUAAUUUCAUAAAAAUAUAAAUCUCACUCUUUAUCCUUCUUUCUCGACGCUAAUACAAUGUCUUCGUGGAACAUAAAAUCUUUGGUAACUUCAAAAGAAUAUUAUUAUCGAAAAAUUCAAUUCUCUCACCCUCAAAUUUUAUACACCACUGACAACAUAAUUAUAAAAAUAGUUGUAAAAACAAUAAUCAUUAAUAAAAAUAUGGCAGUCAUUCUUAAUUGGAACAAUUCAAUAGUAAAUUGAUAACGACAAGAUAUAGUACGCGACUAACAUUAAGUUAUAAGCAUUUGUUGACCAUCAAAUAGGAUCAUUCAUUUAGCAACAAAAAGUUCCUUAUGAUCUUAUGAUUCAAUGCAGUUCAGCAAUUUCUGUGCCUAAUGCAAUAAAUCACUCUUUUGGGUUUCUCUUUAAUCAAAGAUGCUGUUGAAUAUUUCAUGACUGUUUCUUCCUGCACCUCCAUAUCUUCUUCUGGCACCUCCAUACACAACAUGAAAAUACAAUUUUAUCCUUCUUCCGCCACCCCCAUAAAAUAGCUUCCGGAUUAUGUAAUCUAGAAACGCAUUUGAAAAAAGGCUUCCGGAUUACAUAAUCCGGAAGUUAAAAAAAACUUCUGGAUUAUGUAAUCCGGAAAGUAAUCAUGCAUAUGAAAAAAGACUUCCGGAUUAUAUAAUCCGGAAACUAAUUACAAAUUUGAAAAAUGACUUCCGGAUUAUGUAAUCCGGAAUCUUACAGAGGGGUAUUUUAGGAAAUACGAAAAUGUAUGGAGGUGAGAGAAGAAGGUAUGGAGGUGUAGGAAGAAGCAGCCAUAUUUCAUUCAUCGGUAAGUAGCCCACGACGCAACUAAAAGCAGAUUGUUGAUAAUAUAUUAAUAUUACAAUAUUUAUAAUGAGUUAUAGUGUGAUAAUGAAUUUCCUAGUAUCACAACAUUGUUUAUAAACAGGAGAAUACCUACCUGUUUUGAAAAAAUUCUAUCUUUGACCAUUACGUAUUAAACAAAUUGGAUCACCCAUUUAUGAAGCAGCUGCUACAAAAUUUGAAGGCCUUUCUUUCCUUUGCUAUGGAACAUGCAGAUGAUACAGGCUUUUACCUGAGGACUUGUCACGAGAGAAAAAUACUGAAAUGCCUCCCAAAAUAGAAUGUAUUAUCUUAUUCCAACCUUUUCCACCUCUAAGAGAUACUGAACAUUUAGAUAAAGACAGUAAAUUAACUUUACAAGAGGCUAAAACUAAACAAGAAAUGAAGAUUACUUACCAAGUUGAUGAUGAAGUUAAAAAGCCUUUACUCUAUUGUAACUAUCACUAUUUUGGUUAUCCCCAAAAGCCCCGAAACCACUGCCAUGUGAACCACCAAAUGUGCUGUUCUGGCUUCACUUUCUACCACCAUAUCGAUCUGAACUACCAAAUCCACCGAAACCCCCUCCUGACCGAUUUGAACCAGGGCUGCCAAAACGGCUAGAACUUGGUCCUCCAAAGCUUCCCGUCUCCCCAUGGCUAGAUCGGCCAAACCCGGAGUUAGUGUAACUGCCAGAACUGGAAUUUCCAUAGCUAGAUCCGCCAAAUCCAGAAUUAGUGUAACUGCCAGAACGGCCAAAUCCAGGACUGCGACCAAAACCUGUACCUCCAGAUUGACGAUCCCUCAUACCUCCUGAAGAACCAAAUCGACCACCACUCCAUCCUCCAAACAUAUCUACUGAUCCACUCUGAACAUUAAUCUUUGCUAGCUGAUAAACAAAAACAUUGGAAUAAGAUGUGAGCAGUUAACAUUAUACGACGUAAAAGUCACCUAUAUAUAAGAUCGUAUAAAGGGAUAAAGAAUCUAAAGGGCAAGAUAAAUAAUUACAGCCAAAAGAUUUGGCCUUUCACAUCUUGAAGAUCAAAUAUGUGCACAGGUAUAAUACAAUCGUAACACGACAGUCGAACAAAAAAUCAAAUAAAACAUCUAAGCACUAUCAAAUUUGGCAAUGACUCAAUUUUCUGUUAAUCCGAUGAAGUAAAAAUGAAAAUCCAUAACAAAAGAACUGUUAAUCCGUUAUUAGUUACUGAGAAUUUGCUGGCUAAAGCCUUGAAAGAUGUACAUAAAGCGAGGACAGUUACUUCCACUGCCAAAUUUGACACAACAGGUUCACCUUCCUCUAACUCAUUAUUCAACAAACAAAGAACUUUAGCCUUUCUCAUCACAUCAUUUCCCAUAAACUCGCAGUUUUAGAUCAGAAUCCUUGUCGUAACAUUUACUUUCACUUAACAUUUUACCCCUCGUGAUCCAAGAACAUACAACUAACAGGUUUACUAAUUAAACCAAAGCUAGAGCUAUGGAUGUAUAUCCAUAAUUGAGAAUGAAAUUGAUAAAAUUUGAUGAGAAGGAAAUGUGCAGUCAGCAUUGCAGUAAUAUCACAAUAUACCAAAACUUAAUGUCUUAUCUAAUUGCCAUCACCCUUUAAGGAUUCAAGGUAUUUUAGUCUGAAUUCUGCAGCUUUGUCCCCUCCCUGCUUGAUAUUAUGAACAUCAAAGGCAAAAUAGACCCUCUUAACAGUUGAACAUGGAUUCACAUUUACAUACAUUUUUAAUCCUUUGAGCACAUCAAUAUAACAUCCCGUAUAAGCUACCAUGGAUUAAUGGGUAGAACUCUGCACUUGCUGUGUGCAGGGACAGCUGAACAUAAAUUGUCACCAACUUGAGCUUUAGUACUUAAGACGCAGUGUAGUGAAAACCUAGGUAAGUUAAAGACAGUCUUUCAUAACUAAAUGACAAACUAGUAAGACAUUCACCAAAAAGCUCCCUAACUAAGAGGCGGCACAUUCAAAUGCCCCUUUAAGGUGAACUGGAUUGAAUAGGCUACCCAUCUUGGUGCAGCAAGGACUACAAUAAUAUUAACAAAGAAAGCUACAAUUGUGAAAGAUAGAAGGAUGGAAAUGGAAAAAAAGCAAAAUCACCUCUGUAAAUUUGCAUCCAACAUCACGCUCAAUAGUCUUCACAGUCCUGAAUUGAUCUUCUGAGUAAAUAAGAAUAGCAGCUCCUUUCUUGCCAGCACGGCCUGUUCGUCCAGAUCGGUGAACAAAUAUCUCUGAUGAACUGGGGAGUUCAUAAUGUAUUACCUGUACGAGAAAACCAAGUAAAAAUUUACAAACAGAUAGAAUAACAGUGUAUGUCAGUGUGUUUACAUAUACACAGAAUAUAUAACAUUAAGGCAUAAAAGAUAAGAGUUAAUAAGAUACACACAAGCAAUUAAUAGGGAAAAUGAAAAAGUAAUACAACAAGGACAGAUAAUAGUGAAGAUAAGCAGUUAGAAAGGAAACAUUACCCCGUAAUUUCCCUUCACCCUCAAAAUUUAGGGAAAUCCAACUAUUAAAAUAUGACAAACAUGAUACCAACAACAAAGGAGGAACUACCAUGUAGAAAAUAUGAGCUUUUCUUAAAACUUAAUCAACUAUCAAGAACCAUGUAUAACACAACAAUUUCAAACAUAAUGUUUAGUAAAAUAAAACUUACGAGAUCCACAUUUGGAACAUCAAGGCCACGUGAUGCAACAUCAGUUGCCACUAAAACAUUGAAAUCGUUGUUUCUGAAACCGGCAAGAGUCCUUUCCCUCUGAGUUUGUGAAAUAUCUCCAUGCAAAGCCUCACAUUUAAGGCUUUUUGCCAUCACAUGUGAUAAUCGAUCAGCAUCACGUUUGGUUUGAGUGAAAACAAUACACUUUCCUCCAUUUGCAUGUUCCUAUCAAAGUAUAUACAAUUAGGAAAGGCAUACAGAAGCCUGUUUAAGAAUCAAACAUACUGAGUUGCAAUCAUUUUAGUAAAAAAUAUAAAAUUAUAAAACAGAUUCUUAUAAUAAAACAUCAAUGAUGUCAUUAAUAACUGAUGCAAACGUAAGGAGAAAAGAUUAAAUCUGAAGUCAUACUGUUAUCAGGGGUACAAGAAUCCCUGCUUUAGUGCGCAUAUCAGACACAAUAGAGUACAGUGAAAUUCCAUCUGCCAACUUCUGAUCAGAAUCUCCAACCUACGGCACCAGUAAGUUCCCAAGUAACGUAUUACAAUCAACAAUAAGGAUUCUGCAAGUUAAUCUCAAAUACUUCUUCUUUACAAAGAAAAAAUCAUGGGAAAAUGUGCACACAAAAAAUCGGUACAUUUAAGUUACUUGUGCUAGAUAUCAACGCAAGAAGCCAAUAGCACCAUCAGAUUUACCUAACCAUCAAACUAAAAAUUGAAUGAAGAUCUCAUGCUGCGGCAUAAAUUCCAAAAUUCUAUAUAAUACCUUCUACAAUGAUAUUUAGAGAAUAAACUUACAUAGAACCACUGUUUUUAAUAAACAUGUCAUAGAAAAAGAGGUUAUACAGGCACAAAUAUAGAAAGCUACAAUUUCUUCUGAAGGUUGAGAACACAUGUACUGCUGCCUGCAUAUAAAUACAGAUUAUAUAAUAUUUAUGACAUCUAUAUACAUAAAAUUUCUAGCCGAAAAAUUACCUUAGCUAACUACAACUUUUACUAAAAGUCUGACACUCUGCACUUUAAUUUUAGGGACACAGAAGAGUUCACAGUCCAACUUGUAGAGUUCAGUACAUGUAUUUAUCCCAGUUGCAUUGAAGACAAUGUGAAGAGGAAACCUUAUAUACUAGUUUCAGAUUGACGGACAUAACAUAAUAUGAUAUAAAUUUGUUUGUAAUUUUUAGGUAUUUGCGUGCAUUAAUGUCAUUUUUUUAAGAUUCUCUCUGUAUGCCCUUUAGUAAAAAAAGAUGAUGUCAGUUAAAACUAUUGUUUAAUGUGUUGGCUGUAUCCAAUAAAUAACCAUGCUAGAAUGUUUCAUAUGUGAUAUAAACUGCCUUAGUUCACCAAAAAAUUGAUUUGUUUCGAUUUUCCAAAAUAAUCUUAGGGCCUUUCUGUGAUGCAAAUCCCUAGGAUAGGGAGAUUCUUAGUUUUAUAACUCAAAGGUACUGAUGGCAGCUAACCCUUAAAGAUUAUAACUUGUCUUUGUAUUUCAUCACAAUCACAAUUAGACACCACAAGUUAUAGCUCUAUUCAUGAGUGUUUUCUGCAUACAAUAUUUUUACCUUGACUUGAAAUCACUGCCAAGUUCUGUGCAGGAAGAUUUUCAUCUAUAUGAAAUUUAUUUCCUCACUGAUCACAAAAUCCUGAGCUUUAGAAGAUUCCGUUAAUUAAAUUUGUUAGGUAUCUUCUAAUUUCUCCUCAAAACUCUCUUUGGCCCAUGUCAUGCUAGACUAGGCAUAAUCCCAACAGAAAUGACAUUUGAAAACUUUAUUAACCUUUCUUACUUGUGCCUAAAAUAGAUUUGUAUACUUACGAGAUCAAUGGUAAGGGGGUUGUUUAGGUAAUUGCGGGUAAUAGUCUUUAUCCAAGGUGGCAUUGUUGCUGAGAACAUAAGAGUCUGACGAUUUGGAGAUAAAUUCUCCAAGAUCUUCUC
Molecule: long non-coding RNA, 58590 nt
Filed under: Phaseolus vulgaris (common bean)
Lineage: Eukaryota; Viridiplantae; Streptophyta; Magnoliopsida; Fabales; Fabaceae
Description: long non-coding RNA (PVUL_LNC002563)
Source: RNAcentral